AUUAAUCAUCUUUCAAGAAAACUCAAAACCUAAAUCAUUUACAAUUUGAAGGACAAAAUAGAAGCUUAUAAGAAAAUAUUGAACUUUUUGUAUUUAUGUUCAAAAUUAAAAUAUUCACGAGUCAUGUCAUGUGAAGAGCCCCUGCAACUCUAAUCACUUGCCAGUUGUCACCGUAGGGGCAGUUGGGUUAACUUUUUUUUUUUUUUUUUUUUUUUUUUUUUUUUUUUUUCUGUUUGUUAUCCGGCCGAAUGGGCUGGGUGGAGUAGGUUGANAUAUUUAAUGUAAUUUUUGUAAUUAUAAAUUUAUUCAAAUAAGUAAUUAAUUUAAAAUUUGAAGUUAAAUUAUCAUUGACUAAUUCAAAUUAAACAAAUUGAAAGGUUAGUUACAAAAUCAAAAAUUUCAAAGUUUAGACAACUGAUUCAAAAUAUUUCAUAACCCAGACAAAUUUUGUACAUUUUUAUCUAAAAUUUAUGCUACGAAGGAAGGUUUGCUUCACCUACAACCAAAAGCCAUCUCUCUCUCUCUCUCUCUCUCUCUCUCUCUCUCUCUCUUCUCUUCUGACAAGCAUUAAAGAUACAAGAAAUUUUUUUUUUUUUUUUUUUAGAGAGAUAGAUAGUACGCUACCCGCUUUGUUUAUUUCAUUUAGAAAUAAACUUAGCUGAAAAUGUGAAUCAACUAGGAUACGAGCUGAGAUCUCAGGUAUCAAUCACCAAGCCCUUUACCACUUACCCUAGGGACGGUCCGUCAGUUGGGUUAACUAUUAGAUAGUUUUGUUGGGCUGUUGGGCGAACUUAUUAUCAAAUAUAAUUGUAGUACUAUUUGUGCACCAGUAAGUACCAUAUAAAUUUUACAUCUUAACUAUUUAAAAACUAUCCAGCGCAUUUGAUCAAGGAUUUAAUGAUUGAUAUCUAAAGUCUUAAGUUCAAAAUUUAAUUUUGUUUCUUAUUUCUAACUUCUCCAACUAUAUAAAGACUUAAUUUCUUUUCAUUAGUCUUAUUAACCUUCUUUCAAUACUAAAACUUGAAGAGAAUUUUUAAAUCCUUAUUAUUAUUAUUAUUAUUACUAAUCUUAUUAACUUCACUUUUAAAUUCUUGGAUGGGUACCUGUACUCCACGCUUACAGGGAAUACAUGUAGCGUUUUUCAUAUAUUUGAGAGGCCCAUUUGGCACUAUUUUUAUUCACUCCGAUAGAGAGUGCGCAUCUUAUAUCUUACAGCUUAUAUUUUAGAAUUUAUAAAAAUUUAAAUAGUUUUCAGUAAAAAUAAAUUAAAAUUGAUGUGACAAGUAGAGUAAUGAUUAUUCUUAAAUAGAGAGGGUAUAAAAUGUACACCACGCGUGCGUUUGUACCAAUAGCAUUUCCCUAAAAAAAAAAAAAGUUUUAUGGGGUUAAUUGUAAAAACAAAUACUGUGGGGUCUAAUUGCGAAAAAAGCCCUCAUCCCAUCUGGGAGGCCGGACAGAACGCACAAUUCCAUCCGUCUCUACUUUGGCGCAGCAGCAGCCAUGUCCCUUCCUCUCUACCCCGCUUCCCUUUCCAAUCCCCUUCCGCUUCGCCAAAACUUCUCUGCAGAAUCUCGACACUGUAAACCUCUGCUCUUCUCCACCACCAGGUUAGUCUCAUUUGUGUAGUGGAUUAUAAACUUAUUAGAGUAACAUAGCAGAACCAAUCAAGCAAGAAAAUAUUUGAAGAACCCCCAACUAAUAGGCACCUCAACACCCUCCUUAACUUUUUUUUUUUUUAUCUUUUUAUUUAAGUUAUUCAAGUUAUCAAGUUUAAAAUUUUGUUACAUUUAUUAGCUUUAACUGUUAAUUAUUCUCGUUUUGUUUGUUAAAUGUCUAUAGCCACUAAACUAAAAUUACCCAAUUUCAAAUUUGUCAGCUGUAAUGCUCUAUAUAAGGAUGAACUCGUGAUAUUUGGAGCUGUGCACAAUUUUAAUUGCCAGUUCCUAUUAGUUCUUGUUUUAUUGAAGUUUUAAUGUAUUCGCAAGUCGCUCCUUGAUUUCAUUGGUUGUUAAUUUAUUAUGAAUCAUUUUUUAUGCAGGGGUAAACAAUGGUAUUAUAGAUCAAAGAACAUAACACGCCUCACGGUUAAUAGCAGAAUUUCUAGCCUUAAAGAACCUCCUUUGAGCAAUCCUGCUGCACUAUUAGCAAAGGAAGCUCACAAGUAUUUUGACCAGGCUGUUAUCACUGUUCGCGCUGGAGACGGCGGCCAUGGUGCAAUCCUCAGCAUGCCGAGCCAGAAAAUCAAUACAAAGUCGCAAGGGAGACACGAAAAGGAGAAAAGGAUGAGAAGCUCAUACAAGAGGGAUUCUGACGGCUCGCUUAUCCUCCCGAUGGGUGGACAUGGGGGCGAUGUCGUUCUUUACGCAGACGAGGGCCUAGAAUCUCUUCUGGAGUUUCACAAGAAGAGGCGUUAUAGUGCGAAGCGAGGAGGAAAUGUGGAUGCCAUGGGCACUUUGACCUCCCAAUUGCAUGAUGGAUUUGCCGCACCAGCACUACGAGUACCCGUGCCUGUAGGUUUGUAGAUUAUGUAACCAUUUUUUGUUAGAUGACUGGACUAAAAUUUCCUCUAAUACUUGUUCUCUCAUCAUGGCUUCUCCUGCUGUCUUUUGUUUAAAAUAUGCCAAAACUGGUGAAUAUGUUCUUAUGCAUGAUCUCCUCAUCACUCAGUUCCUCAUAUUCUGUGGAUUUUAAAAUGCUAUCCAUAGAAGGCUUACCAUUAUAACUGAUUACUCGAUGAUUAAGAAGAAUGGGAUCCAGUUCCUUAAAUGUUUGAAAACAUGACAGGCACGGUUGUGAAGCGGAAAAAGGGAAAACUUCUUGCUGAUUUAGCUCGUCCUGGUGAUGAAAUUGUAGUCGCUAGAGGCGGACAAGGUGGGGUAAGUAGCAUCUUAUAUUGAUAUGUGCAGAAAAUGAGGUUUCUUUUGUAUCUUGUAGGUUAAGAGUUUAAUAUAAACCAAUCCGCUUCGGUUUAUUUGAAACAUAUAAAUAUCUGUAUGAUUACGAUAAAAAUUUUCAUGCUUACUGAAUAGGCUUCAACUAUAUUUGUUUGUAUUUUGUCUUGGUAGUCCUAAAUAUAUUUAGGAAACACAUUAUGCUGGUGGGAGAUUGACUCAUUAAAUAAUGUUUUAACAUCAAAAUGUAAGGACUAGAGAAGCCGCAAAGUUCAAGGAUAAAUUGAGGGCAAAGUUUUAUUAAUCCUCAGACUCUUGCCAUUUAAAAUAUAUUAGUAAGUUAAUAAAAUUUGAGAAGGGAAUUCAAAUCAACCCAUGAAUCUAAACUUGUUAGUUGAUAGCUUGAACUCAUUUAUCUGAAGUUUGAACAACUUUAAAAUUUUAGAUUUUAGGCCUUUGUAAGAAACAUGACCUGCGUAUAUGUUCGGUACAUUAAUUAGCAUGGUGGCAAAAUGUUCUGAAAAGCAAGUGACAAAUGCAACUAAAAUCCAGGAUGUAUCCAUAGGAUGAAACUCAAUAUUCGUUUUUUUUUGUUCUGUCAUUAGACAAGAUUUAUGUUGGAUCAGCUUUAUACCAUCACUUCAUGUUGGAAAAGCUAUAUUGAAAGCCUGCCAAUGUCAUGGUGCUUGAUUAGUCUAUAUAGUAUGAAAAAAGAUGAAACUUCAUGCGAGAGCUAACACAAAUAAUUCGAGUCUUAUGCGCUUUUCUAUGGCUCGAGAGACAUCAUUAUAUGAACAUUAUCAGAAAAGAAAUUCAUACGACAUUUGUUCAAUUAUAAAACGAUGAAUGGAUAUAGAUGGAGGAUAUAAUUUCCCAAUGGAACUAGCAUGCUAUUCAUAACCACAGUGUAGCUUAAACAUCAUCUACAGUUUGUUUUUAUUGUGUUAUUUUAUUGGCUAUGUUCUGUAAUAUGUUAUUUUCUUAUCUUCUUUUUGCAGAUAAGCUUGCUAGAAAUGCCUGAACACAAAAGGAAAAAAUUAAUGGCUCUAUCCACUAAUGUAAUGCGAGAUGAAAAUGACAAGGUCAGCUUGUUUGUCAUCAUGUGUCUCAUAUCUCAAUCUGGAAUGACAUGAAUUGUUUUUGUAACCUUUGAUUUUCUAUUGCGUGAGUGACCUUCCUGAAGUACUUGAGAUGCCCUAUAAAGAUCUAUAUAUCAUUAGCUUGAAAGAUUAGAAAGCAAGAGCAGAUUUAAAGAUAAUUUGCUAUAUGCAAUUGUGUAAAAUAGUUUAGGGGGGUAAUAGUACAGUUUGUAAGGCAAAAAGGUCGUCACUUUGCAUGAAUACAUGCCAACUUAUAUUUAUGUUUAUACUCUAUACCUAAUGAGAUAAAAUGGUCUGUAUCUUGAUAAGCUUUGGCCUGGAACCACAAAUAAAUUCAUUUCUAAGAAUUGGAUAGUUUGAGUGUAAUCACGAAGAGGGUCUGAAUUGUAAAAUUUCAUAACUUUCUGUAUGCUGCUAUAUAUAUAUUUUUUUUCAUUGAAUGUUUUUUUUUUCUCAUUUUCCCAAUUGGGGGCUUAUCUUUGUUCUUUCUUCUAAUCUUCUUGUUGCUUUUUUCUUCUAGGUCCUAGUUCUUGGUCAGCCUGGCGAGGAGGUUAGCUUGGAAUUGAUUCUAAGAGUGGUUGCUGAUGUUGGUCUUGUGGUAUGCAGAAUGUCAAAUUCUUUUUUAUCUUAUUAAAAAGGUGUCUCUUUUCGAGUUACCCUAUAUAACUUAGGUUGAGACAUAUACCUCAACUUUCUUUCUUUUCAUCGAUGCUUUAGUAAACACCCUCUUAACGUAGAUAGCAAAUAAUGUUUUUGUUAAAUUGCAAAUAGUGAAGAGGUCUUCUUUGCUUCUUUAGGGACUUCCAAAUGCUGGAAAGUCGACACUUCUCGCAACUCUAACACUUGCGAAACCAGAUAUUGCCGACUAUCCAUUCACAACUUUAAUACCCAAUCUUGGACGUCUUGAUGGAGACCCUAAUUUAGGGGCAUUGAAAUAUUCCUCAGAAGCAACAUUAGCUGAUUUGCCUGGUCUAAUUGAAGGUGCUCAUCUGGGCAAGGUAUUGCUACAUCUAAAGUGCUUUAUUUUCCUUUCGUUCUAAGAUAACUGUUUACAUCAAAGCAACACAUACAUAUUGCGUUGCAGGGUCUUGGUCGAAAUUUCCUGAGACAUCUAAGGAGGACUCGGCUACUUGUUCAUGUCGUUGAUGCUGCUGCUGAGAACCCCGUAAAGGAUUAUAAGACUGUCAAAGAGGUGAUUUGCAUUUUGUCUUUCUGGCAAUGCCUUUCCUUAUUUCUCUGGGAUUCGACAUCAUUCUGCUUGUCGGUUUACCUGUGCCUUUGAUAUGAUUCCUAAUUCAAAAUUUGUUAGCUUUUUCCAUUGUCUUGAUUAAGUUCAUGUUCAGAGCAUUUUAUAUAGGGACUUCUCCUAAAUUAUAUGACUAAGAACCUGCUUAGACGUCGGAACAAAUUAUCCUGUGAUAACUUGUGUGAUACAAGAAUUUCUUUUUGUAACUGCAAGUAAAAGUUUGAUUUUAGUUCAUUAGAUGAUCCUCAUAACCAUGACUUUAUAGGGUAUUGUAUUCCACCUACGAGGUGAUUUAAUCAUGUUCCAGGAAGAGUGACUUAGAAGCUGAAUAUGCUAGGCGGUUGUAGAUAUGUUGUCAUACUCGUAUGAAGCAAUUAGCACAUGCUCCCUGAGGACACAAAAGAGACAUGCUGAACAAGUUGUUUAUGCAUUUAUACAGGCCCUAAAUGAAUUAAUGCUACUCUGCGACAUAGACUGGCUACAUAAACUACUUAUUUGAAUGUUCUCUAUGUUUUUUUUGGGGUAAACAUCAAAUUGUCCCCUUGUAGCUUAGCUUAUUUUCACUUUUACCACUCUGUGGUUCAAAGAGUUUCACUUUACCCACUUAAUGACAUAAUGUAUUUAAUACAUACUGAAUCAAACUCUUCUGCAGUGAUAUGGGAUAGCUUGCAGUGGGGAAUUCUCUAGUGAAUGUUUGGACUAACCCUAUUGAUGCAAGUCUAUGCUGUUUCCAGAUUGCCCCUUUCUAGAUGUGUAGCUAUUCUUGAUAAUCUAACCGGCCUAAGAUUGAUUAGAUGUCUUGUAUCGAGUAUUAACAAGCUAUCAGAACCUAAAUGCAUUGUCUUCAUUUAUUUUGGUGAUCAUUGAGUGCCAUUCUUUUAUGAAUUUGCCGUUAUACUGAAAGCUUUAUCUGACAAAGGAUGGAUUUUUCUUGCAGGAAUUAAGGAUGUACAAUCCAAAUUACUUAGAGCGACCUUACAUUGUGGUGUUAAACAAGAUUGACCUACCAGAGGUGAUUUAUUCUACUGUCUUUAAAUAACUAUGAGGUCUUUUAGGAAUUUAUUUUAUUAUUAUUAUUAUUAUUAUUAUACUUUUUCAUUGAUGCCAUUAAUUUUUAAGUAAAAUCGACAAGACUUAUGACAUAACUAUUCCAAGUCCUUGCAUUAUUUAACUGUUCUUUUUUUCCCCCUCGACAGGCUCGAGAUAGGUUGGCAUCCCUGAUACAAGAUAUUUCAAUGAUUGGAUGUAGAGAAACAACGAAAUUAAAUAUCAGACCAAAAAUGUUGACUGAAAAUAAAAAUGAACAUUCGGUUUCCUCGGGCACAGGUUGUGAAGAGAUAAAAGAGAAGGAAAUCGAGGAUUAUCCGCAACCUCUAGCAGUUGUUGGGGCAAGCGUAUUGUAAUAUCUUAUACUCCCAGUUGAAAAUUUUGCAUUUUCUUUCAAGCAGCCAUACUUAAUUUAGUUUGAUUAAUAGUUUGCAUGAUAAAAUUCUACUGUAUUUUACACCUCAAGCUAGAUAAUUCUUGUGUUAAUACCUAUAGGUUUGUAAAGCUUAUGUUCUUAGGCAUCAUAAAACUCAUACAGCACAUAAUCAGAUGUCUCAUGACUAUUCGUCGUUAGGCAUUAUAAUCUACAGUAAAACUCUUACCAUGAAUAUUUGGUUUUCUCAGUGUUUUACGACUAUUCCUUGUUUUGAGUUCUUGACUAAGAACUAGUUAGAAGAUAGAAAAUGUUUAAUUGACAAACUUAGGAUACCCAAGUGAUUUCCAUCUGUAUUACUCCAAACUAAAGCAACAAUUACCAGAAACUUUCCUGCAAAAUGCAACCAAGGGACACCGCCAGAAGUAAGGCCUCCUGUAACAAAUGGUCAUCUGAUAAAGAGUACCUAUAUUACUUCGUGGGUCAGAAGUUUUACCCUUUUCAGUUAGUUCAUGUCUCUAUUACAUUUCUGAGAGCUUUUCAGAGAAGCUGCAGCCAUCCUCAAGACUUCUUGGUGAAGCCAUACAAGGAUACUUCACAUUUAGGCUCCCUUUAUCAUCUCAAAAGUUUCAAACUUUUCCAUGAAAGAAGAUCCAACUUAGCCACAAAAAGUAAAAAAGUAAACUCGCUCGGCGCAGCAUAGGUACUGCAAAUGGUGGGCAUCCUGUAGUCAAGUUGAUAUCGCAUUCAAUUUUAGAUUAAGGUAAAUGCUGCCCCAGGAUCAAGAAACUCCUGGUCUGGUGGUGAUUUAAUUGAGGAUUUUCUGUCAACUUUGAUUGAGGAGGUCCUAUUAUAUCUGUUACCCUUUUGUAUAUGGCCAUCCAUUUGGUGUUUGAACUCUAAUGCUUUCUAUACAGGUACAUGUUCCCUUCUAGAAGGGAUUUAGUCUAUUUCUUAAUCUGAGCCGCAAAAUUAUGGGUCUAAUUCUCAAAUAUUAGGGCCACCUAGUGUAAGAGAGUUGAAUUUUUUUUGCUGAAAUAAUUCUGCCCAUAUUAAUUGAAUUCACAGUUUUAAGCGACUUUUGAACUUUUGUAGGUAACUGCGUGACUUGUGUCUUAUAUUAGGUUCUUCAAUGUUGCGAACAAUGUCGAUUCAGGAAAUAAUGUAGUCCUCUUCUUUAGUACUAGCAAGUUACUAACAUAUACUGCAAGCUUAUAAAUUUAUUUUCCAUGUUGUGUUUAUGUGUGAAUUAGUCAGAAAUUUGCUUCUAAAAUUUCUUGAAGUUAGACAGUGGUGAUUCAAUUGCAUUUUUUUCUAGCUCCAGCUGUCAAAUUUUGAGUUAACUGCUCUUCGUUACCUAUGUAUGAAAUGAAGAAAGAAAAAUUAACUCCAAUUCUGUGUUCGAUAAAAAGGGUGAAAUCGUGUCAUGCCUCCGGUUUAGUCAUCUAGUUAAGGUAUUCAGAAUAUUUUGUUGCAUCUUUAUUUCUGUCGAUUAAAGCAACUUAUCUUUGGUUUCCUUGUUAACUUACGUUUGGUUCAUUCUUUUCGCGUAUUUGUCCUCAUUACUCUUAUUGUGGUUAUUGUUGCAGAAAACACAUUGGCAUAGAAGAGAUGCUUAUAGAGAUAAGGGCUGGCCUAAGAAAGUGUUGGGAUUUAGACAAGUCACUGGAAACAGAAACAACAGGGUUCCUUCCAUCAUAAUUUUCUGAGAUAGGAAAGUUCUAAAGCUUGCACAUGUACUGCAAGAUGGUAUGAAACUACACGUGGCAAGGCCACAAAUUUGAGCUUUUGCAGAUGGCAUAUUUCAUGUUCUUUUAGCUUCUCUCCCUUUUUCAAUAGAUUUUUUGGAGUUUCUAACUCAGGUUGUGCACUUGCAUAUGAGGCUAAUAAAAAGCUAAUAGUGUUGCACGCUCGAUUAUCAUAAAUGAAAUGCAUGAUUUUCUUGGGAGAGAAAACAAACACUUUAUUGUAAUAUAUCUUCUGUUUGAUCAGUCUAUAAUAUUUCUAAGCUACUUUUGUGCAAUACUAGAGAACUGAGUUGCAUGGUUAAUAUCUGUACAUCUUUCUCAUACAGUGUAAAUAACUCUUAUAAGGGGAUACUUGAUUUUUCAGUGCUUUUUUGAUAAAUUGAGUGUCUUCUACUAAGUAGGAAUUAUAUGUAGUAGUAUUUUACAUACUGUAUGUUGCUAUCCGUUCUGAGCAUUAAAUGGCAACUCUAUUGUAAGAAUCAGGAAACUUGCGCUGACUCGUUUCUGUACUAUCUUCAUAUUGCAACUUAGUCCCUAAACUUGUCAUAUUUUACUAUAGAGAGGCCCUUUUAGAUAUUGCAACGUAGUCCUUAAACUCAAUGCUUUAAAACCCUGGUUGAUUCGGCCUGUUGGAUCAUGAAUGAGUGCUCAAACUAGUUUAGUUCGAUCCGUAAAAUCUGAUCCGCUUUAGUCUGUUUAUGUCAGUAGUUCAAUCUGUGAACCAGCCCGAUCGAUGGCCGUUUGUGUAGUAAGCUGGCCUUUGUGAGGAAGCUGGCCUUUGUGAAGCCUGGCGAUCGAUGCUGCAUAGACAAUCUUGAGCUGGGACUGGGAGCAGUUCAAACAUAAGUGGGCUCCAUUUGAGGACGCGGUGUAAGGGGCAGUUCUAUGUGGUUAUUGUUGGCUUAAAUGGGCCAAAUUUCUGCCUUGUAGCGGAAGGUUAUGUUGGAUCAAGUCAUGUUCGAAAUGAUGUGAGGUUAGGUGGGUCGAAUCAUGUUCGAAGUCGAGUGAGGCUGGGUGAGCCGAGUCACAAUCGAGACUCGUGGACACUGUAUCUAUACGUUUUAAGUGAAUUGAUUGCGUAUUUCUAAUAGCUCAAGCUUUUGAGAUUAAUGGUUAGCGCCAAUGAUCCGAUAGUUAGCACGGCACGGUUAUGAGAUGCUGCUUCCCUCCAGUCGGAAGCGAUGAAAAGCCUGUCACUGAGGUGAUCACACCUUCGGGCAUCCCGCCAACGUGUUGGUCAGGGAAACUUCUACGUAUCUGGUCGGACAGCAAGGUGAGCUGCUGCAGAUUGUAAGAAGCCAACGGGACUCCGAGGAGAGCAGAGAGUAGCGUCUUCUCACAAACAGCUUCUACAUAUUUAGGCUUGUAACUGGUCGCAAUGUGUGGGAUAUGAUGUAUGCCUUGCGCGACCACGCCAUUUUUCCCAGGAAGCGCACAACCGUGGCCGUGUUGGCUAGCCAUUUUCGAGAGUGCAAGCGCAACUGCAUCUACUUUACCGACGACUAUGACCUGGACUGCUUGUGCUCUGACCGUGGAGGGGGGUUGUGACACAGGCUACUGCACCUUGGUAGAUAAACAGAUUGAAUUUCUGGAAAAUGUUGAGUCGUUCUCUUCGUUUUCUCUUCCGAUCUGGGCCUCUCUAUCUAAGCAGUACAGGUUUUAUGAAUUCACCUCCCACAGAUAAUUUUUUUCCCCCUAUCUAAGCAGGAUUUCUGCCAUCAUAAUUGUCCUAGAUAGGAAAUGUCUACGCACGCUUGCACAUACAUUAAAAGAAGCUGUGAAAUUUUCUGGUGUCAAUUGUACAAGUAGAAGUUAUUUAGCUCUUUUCGCAAAUCGUUUGGGCUUCUGCAAAUGGCAAUAUUCACGUUCUUUCGGUUUCGAAGUCUCCAAUUCUCAACGGUUGUGCACUUGCAUACGAGGCAAACUUAAAAGAAGCUAAUAAUAUUGUAUACUACAUUAUCAUAAAUGAAAUGGCUGAUUUUGUCGAGACAAUAAAAACCUUUAGGGUGCGUUUGGUUCGCGCUAUCUUUUAAAGAUUCCUAGUAAUCCAAUGUGAAUAAAAAAAUAUGACGGUGUUUGGCUAAACGCACUAAGUAAUCUAGUUGGUAAUAUUGAAUUCACUUGGGAAUAAGAUUCACCCCAAAAUACUAAUCUCAUUCCCUUGAGGGAGGGUGGGUAUCCUCAUAUUAAUGGAUUGGGAUAAUCAUAAUAUGUCUAAUCUCUUUCUUUCUUCCUACCCGCCGGCUAAUUGAUAUUAUUUUUCUUUACACUCUAACCUUAUAUCUCUCUCUAAACUUAUUUUUCUCUCUAAAAUUCAACUUUUUUUUCUCUCUCUAAACUAAGCUUUCUCUCUCUCUCUUUCUAAAAUUUCAACUCUCUCACUCCCUCUAAUUUUGACUAUAUUGUUCUUUCUAUUUUUUUAAUUAUGCUCUCUCUCUCUAACUUAUACUCUCUCUUCCUUUUUUCUAAAAAGAUGUUGAAACUUUUGGUAACAUUAUCUAAAAUUAAUUAAAUAAAUAAAUUAAUUAAUUAUAUAUUUUUUGUAAUAUUAAAUAACAUGGCUAAUUAAUAUUACCGUGCGAACCAAACAUAGGAAUUUCAAAUUCUUAGUAAUAGGAUGAAUAGGAAUAAGAUUCUCGGAUAUCUUUUAUUCCUAGUAAUCUUUCAUAAUGCGAACCAAACGCACCCUUACUGUAAUCUGCUUCACCGUAAUCUUAUCUUUUGUCUGAUAAGUAUAUAAAUUUUUUAUGCAACUUUUGAAUAAUAUUUUUUUGAGAAAAGAAUAGCACACUAUCUGCUUCAUUAAUUAGGAAUAUGAACUUAAGCUACAUUGGAUGCACAUCGUCCCACUUUUGUGCAAUACUACUGAACUAAGUUGCAUGGUUACUAAUUGUACAUUGGGUAACUUACCGACCGUCCCUAGAGCAAAUGGCAAAAGACUUGGUGGUUGGUACCUGAGACCCAAGUUCAAAUUCUAGUUGAUUCACAUUUUCAGCUAAGUUUACUUUCUAAAUGAAAUAAACAAAACGGAUAGUGUGCUACCUAUCAAAAAAAAAAAACAAAUUAUGUAACUUUCUUCAGAGGACAUGAUUUUUUUUUAAGUCUUUUUAACAAAACGAAUGUCUUCUACUCUGCAGGAAAAUGUGACAGUAUUUUACAUAUGACAUGACUAAGCUAAUUAUGCUGAACUAGUGUAAGGCCACACUUCGCGGCAGAUAGAUAGUAUUUCAGUCAAUUAAGAUAUAUAUAAUUAUUAAAGCUUUAAAAUUGAAAAGUCAUAAAUAAUUAAAAGAAUUAUAAAGUAACCAUCUGUAUAUUAUAAAAAUAACUUUUUAUUAAUAUUUUCUUAGCUUACAUAUUCUAUAACUGUAUUUAAAAAUUCAAUCAACUUUAAUAAUUUUGGUAGCUAUUUAUAAAUAAUUUUUUUAACUAAAACUUUAACAUUGGAGGACUUAUUUUUAAAUUGCCAAAAAGGCGAAAAUGUCUUUACUUUGUUAAACUUGAUUGGAAAAAAAAAAAAAAACUAUUAUAUGCAUAUGGUGUACAUUAAUAAUAUAUAUACCACAAUAGAUCCUAACGAUAGGGAUAUAUUUGAAAACAUUAUAACUUUUGCAGAAAUAAAAAGAAAAAGUUGAAUCUUGCAAGAAUAUAUUUAUAAUUCGAUAUGUUUACAAAAAGCUAUGUCAAUUAAUUCUAUAAAAAUGACACAAGUAACAUGAAAGAUUAAAAAACUUUAAGUAAACCAUAUAGUGUAGAACUCAUAUAUGUGAUUUAAAAAGUAUAUAAAUUAUAAACAAAUAACUAAAAAAAUCAAAAAUAUUCUAUAAGACUAGCUUUAAUUGUACUUUAAAUAAGGUAAUAAAAACAUAAAGAUAAAAAAGUUAUUUUAUAUAUUUAAGUAAUUCUUACCACAAAUACACAGUUGCAACCCCAAAUGAGAUUUUUAUUACUUUGUUUUAUUUACUUAGUAACUCUUACCACAAAUACACAAAAAAAAAAAAACAAAUUUCAAAGAGAAUUCACAUCAUUUCGAUCAAUUAUAUAGAGAUUAGAGCGCACACAAUGAAAUAAUUAAGAUAAAACAAAAAUCUUAGGCCUUUUUAGCAGAAAAAUUGGGUAUUUUAUUAAUUGAUUUAAUUGGCUAAUUUCAUAUAGACUUGGAAAAAGCGAAAUAGGAUUAGGUCCUACAAAUUCAAGAUGGGUAAAUUGCAUUGUUACCCUGAACUUUUGGUGAAGUUUCACUUUACUCCUCGAACUUCUAAAAUGGACAUCUAACACCCUAAAUUUUAAUAUUUCAUUCAUGUUACUUCUUCCGUCAAUUUGCCGUCAAGCUCAGUUAACCAGAAAUUGACGAAAGAGGUAAAACGAAUGAAAUAUUAAAGUUUAGGGUAUUAGAUGUCUAUUAUAGAAGUUGGGGGGGUUAAGUGAAACUCGCCAACAGUUUAGGAGGUAGCAGUGCAAUUUACCCUGUAGAAUUCUUGACUAUAAAUUAUUUUAUUAUAAUAUAUUACUUAUGGAUUAACUACUAACGCUCAAGUUAGUGAUCAUACUUGAUUUUGAAUUUAUAUAUAUUUUUUAUCCUAAAAUAAAUCAUACCAUAAUUUAUACUACAUUUUAUUGUAAUAAAAUAAAAGUGAAAGAAAUGAAUUAGAGUGACUUAAAGAUAAGAAAAAAGUGAUAUAACUAACUACCUACGAUUGCUCGAACACUCCAAUGUCCUGGUGUACUUGCUAAUAUGGUUUGUUUACAAUAUGUGUCCUCACUAGGAUAUAGAGAUUUUAAUUCUCAGUUAAUUUUCUGCGGUACUCGUUUGAGCAUUAUUAUAAGAAAUGCAUUUAUUUUCUAUGAAACUAUGCAAUGUAAUUUUAUUAUAGCAUAAAAUAAAAUUUUUAUACUUAAUUUCAACCAAUUAAAAGUUUUUAAUAUAAGAAUAUAAAAUAAUAAUUUAUUAGAAAAUGCACUUAUUUCUUAUGAAACUAUGCAAUGUAAUUUUAUUGUAGCCUAAAAUAAAAUUUUUGUACUUCAUUUCAGCCAAUUAAAAAUUUUAAUUAUAAAAAUAUAAAAUAAUAUUUUAUAAUACUUUAGAAUAAUGCUUCUAAAGAUAAAAGGGACAAACGAGUACUACAGAAAAUUAACUGAGAAUUAACAUCUCUAUAGCCGAGUGAGAACACCUAUUGUAAAUCAAUCGUAUUAGCGAGUACACGAGGACAGUAGUGUUCGAGCAUCGUAGAUAGUUAGUAUCGCUCUUUAUUUAUAUUUAAGUCACUCUAAUUCAUUUCUUUCGCUUUUAUUUUAUUACAAUAAAAUAUAGGAUAAAUUAUGAUAUGAUUUAUUUUAGGAUAAAAAAUAUAUAUACGUAUAAUAUAUAUACUAUAUUAUAUACCGCUAUAUAAUAUAGUAAUAUAUAUAUAUAUAUUCAAAAUCAAGUAUAAUCACUAAUUUGAGAGUCGGUAGUUAAUCCAUAAGUAAUAUAUUAUAAUAAAAUAAUUUAUAGUCAAUAUCAUAGGGAAUAAAUUGCACUGCUACCUCCUAAAAAUUAAAUAUGAUUACUAAUUUGAGAGUCGGUAAUCAAUUCAUAAGUAAUAUAUUAUAAUAAAAUAAUUUAUAGUCAAGAUCCUAGGGGGUAAAUUGCACUGCUACCUCCUAAACUUUUAGCGAAUUUUACUUAACCCCCCAAACUCCUAAAAUAGACAUCUAACACCCUAAGCUCUAAUAUUUCAUUCGUUUUAUCCCUUUCGUCAGUUUUCGGUUAACGGAGGUUGGCAAAAAACUGACGGAAUGGAUAACAUGAAUGAAAUAUUAGAGUUUACUGGGUUAGAUAUCCAUUUUAGGAGUUCGAGGGGUAAAAUGAAACUUCGCCAGAGGUCAAAGGUAACAAUGCAAUUUACCCAAUUCAAGAUUGUAUACAAACUUAAUGAGAUAAAAACAAAAGUCAUGUAAAAAAAUAUAGCAAUAAUAAAAAAGGGCAAUCGCUUAUAUACUUCUGAAAAAUUUUCAACUUUCUAAUUUACUCCUCUUAGAAGGCUAAUAUUAAAAAUACCUUUUUUACGUUCCAACAUAUUUCAAAUAUACCCUUAGAGUUAAAAUCUGUUAAUAAAUUUUAGUAUUUCUAUGAAUUUACUAUUUUACUAUUUUAAAUAUACCCUUAUACCAUCACCAACUUUUCUUCUUUGCCCUUAAGUUAGGAGCACAAAAGUAUUUUGACUUUUGAUCUUUUCAAAUAUACCCUUCUACAAUCGCCUACAUUUUUAUUUGUUCUUAAGUUAAGGACAAAAUGCCGACUUUUCCUAUUUGCCCUUAGGUUAGGGGCACAAAAAAAUAUUUUGCCUUUUAGACUUUUCAAGUAUAUCCUUUUACCAUCACCAAUAUUUCUUAUUUGCUCUUAAGUUAAGUGCUAAAGUGAUAUUUUAAUUUUUUUUAACUGUAUUAGAUAUUUAACUCACGUUUAACCAAGCUAACUUAACAGAUGAUAACUGUAGGCACGGAGGAACAUAUGAGAAGUAUAUUGGAAAGAAAUAAAUAGUAAAAAUAAAUAAGAUAUUUUUACAAUUUGCAGGGAUAUAUAGACAAUUAUUCCUAAAAAAAAAUGGAUGCGCUCCUCGAACACUGGUAGAAGAAUAUCAGCCGAUCCAUGGACCAUGGUAGAAGAGUAUCACGGCGAUGCGCUCCUCGAACACCGGCGGGGGCUCAAUAGCGCCAUCGUCGGAGCCCUUCUCGCCAUCGUCGGAGGAGGCUUCGGUGCCACAGUGGGAAUCGUCGAAGUUUGAGUUGAGAUUAAUUUGCUAAAUAUAAAUUUAAUAGAGUUAUUUCUCAAAUUUAAAAAUUUUAAAAAAUUAUUUUAUAAUUGGAGGAGUACGAAAACGUAACACAUGGUACAAAAGAGAGUGCCAAAUAGAAAUUUGUACUGGUAUUGACGAUUGAUGAUAAUAUAUAUAGAUAUAGAUACAGAUAUGGCUAGUUUCUAAACAUUUUGAUGGUGCAACUCAAUCCAUAAACUUCUUCUAUAUUGCAAUAGAAAAAGCCAUCUUGAUAUCGCAAUUUAGUCCUUAAACUUCUAUACUAUCUUGAUGCUGCGACGUAGAUGUCCCAAAACCACUCAUACAUUGUUACAUAAAAAGCUAUUCUUCCUAAGCAGAGCCUAUGCACAAAGUGAACAGAAUUUGCAAACUGAAUUAGUUGGUACUGGUACGAAGCUCUAUGCCCUUAGAAUCAUGUAUAAAAAAUUAGUUAAGGAUGUUAUCGUGAUAAUUAAUUAGAGGAUUAGGUACUUGAUUAAUGAAACUUGGGUAAAAGGAUAAGAAUCUUGUUACAAUAACUAGAAAGAUAGAGACUCAAUUUAAACUUUGAUAUCUAUAUAAUCUGAAAUAUCUAAUAUAUAUUAAUAAAAAUAAUAUCUGGUAUAUCUUAUUGCACAACGUGGAAAAUUAUAAUCAAACUAUUAUAACCUACCAUUAUAAACUUUAAAUAUUGUGUUAUCUAAAUUUAAUGAUGAUGACGAUAAUGAUGAUAAUAAAAAUAAUAGUAAAAGAUGAAACUUAAAUACUUAUACUGUGAAAUUUUUUUUAAAAAAAUCUACCUUUCGUUUAGAAAUUAUUAUUUUUUAAUUAUAAAUAAUUAUAUGUUUUAUAAUAAAACUUUAGGUAAACUUCAAAUUUCUCCUGUAUAGUUAAUCUUAUUUUUACUUUGUCAUCAUCUUGUAGUUUUAAAAAUUACACUUUACUACCUACGGUAUAAUUUUUAUUUUACCAAAAAAGAAAGUGCAACUUUUUCAACAUGGUGACAUGGUGUAGAUAGAGUGAAACUAUGGGAGGGUAAAGUAAAACUUUUCAAACCACAAAAGAGGCAAACUAAAAAUAUGUUAUACCACCGACCGUCUCUAGAGUGAGUGGCAAAGGGUUUGAUGGUAGAUACCCGAGACCCAAGUUUGAAUCCUAGUUGAUUUACAUUUCCAACUAAGUUUAUUUUUAAAUGAAAUAAACGAAGCGGGUAGCGUGUUACCUAUCUCUCUCAAAAAAAGAAAAAAAAAGUUAUACCACAGGGGUUAAUUUGAAAUUUACCCUUGGGCCAAUAAUGAUGACGUUUAUUAGCCUAAUCAAAGCGAGCCAUCGCAAUUAUAACAGAAAUUAGUUAUCCGACCCUAGACCGAAUAGAAGUUGGUUAUCCUAUAUAUCCAGGUAGGAUAAAUCGGGAUUGAAUCCUAAUAAAUGUCUGAUUCCGACUCGGACUCUAAUUAAAUUUUAACCCUAUAUAUAACGUAACGUAACGGAGAUUAAGGCCGGCGCAGCAUCUGAUCUGAGGUAUUGAAUUUUGAAGAAGAAGAAGAUGGCCAACGACGACGACGCUCUGUCCUCCUCUCGGCCAUGGUCUCAACUUCCUGCCGAGAUCUUAGCGCAAGUUCUUCACCGAAUCAAUCCCAACGAGGAAUUCACCCGCUUCGCCUCCGUCUGCAUGGCAUGGGGCGCCGUGGCCGCGAAAGAGCCGCUGUCUCUCCCGCAUCAGAUGCCGUGGCUGCUCCUCACCGAGGAGGACUACCCCGGCGAGAGGGAGGGGUGCGACGCCCGAAGCUUCUACAGCUUGUCGGAGGACAAGAUUCACGAACUGGACCUUCCGGAGGCCUGCCGCCGGAGGUGCGUGGGCUCGACGGACGGCUGGCUCGUAACGGUUGGAGAGGCCUUCGAGGGCGAGGAGAUGCACGUACUCAAUCCCGUCAUGCGAACUCGACUACCGCUUCCGCCCCAGUCCACGCUUGUUCUCCCUGUCGAAGAAUACGAAUUUCCGGUGCGGCUGCGAGCGCGGGGGUAUCUAGGAGGAGAAGGAUCGGAAGAAGAAGUGGAAGCGCUCGCAGCGCUACUAGCCGAAGAAGAAGCAGCAGAGCAAGACGCGGGGGAAGUAGCCGAGAUGGGGCCGCAAGGUGAUCUUAUCCUGCAGCCCCAUGGCGGAGGACUCGGACUCGGACUGCAUAGCUUUCGCCAUUUACGGGAGGUUAUGUAAUAAGCUGGCCUUUGCGAGGCCCGGCGACGCUGCGUGGACUAUCUUGAGCUGGGACUGGGAACAGUUCAAGAACAAGUGGGGUCCGUUCGAGGACGCCGUGUACUACAAGGGGCAGUUCUAUGUGGUUAAUUCUCACGGCACGGUCAUGAGAUGCCGCAUCCCUCCGGUCGGAAGCAGUGAAAAGCCCGCAGCUGAGGUCAUCGCCUUCGGGCCUCCCACCGACGAGUGGGUCUGGGGAAAUUCUAGGUAUCUGGUUGAACUCCGAGGUGAGCUGCUGCAGGUUCUGAGAAGGCAAUGGGAGUCGGAGACGAAGAACGGAGAGCAGCGGCUCCUGACGGACGGCUUCUACAUCUUCAGGCUCAAUACUGAUCACAGCGCGUGGGAUAUGAUGUAUACCCUGGGCGACCACGCCGUUUUUCUCGGGAUGAGCACGACUGUGGCUGUGCCCGCGAGCGACUUUCGAGGGUGCAAGCGUAACUGCAUCUACUUUACCGACGACUAUGACCUGGACCGGUGGUGCUCCGACCGUGGAGGGGGCUGCGACACGGGCUACUGCACCUUGGUAGAUAAACGGAUCGAAUUUCUGGAAAACGUCGAGUCCUACUCUCGCUUUUCUCCUCCGAUCUGGGUCUUUCCAUCUAUGCGAUAAACGUUUCAAGAAUCUAUCUCACAAGUCACAACACUAGUUCGUUUGCAGAACGUUUAAUUCUUCUUCUGUUUUGGCUUAUUUAGAACUAGAGAGCAAAUUAACUUCCAUGAAAGAAGAUGGAGAUCUAGCUACUUUUGUUUCGGUUUUUUUAUUUUAUUUUUUAUUGAGCUUGUUCUUUGAAGUUUGACAUAAUAAGAGUUCUCACCAAAAUUCCUCAGUUUUCAGAUGUCAUAUGACGUCUGUAUUUUAGAACUAUUUAUCUUUGUUGAUUCACCAACCUUUCCUAAAACAAGUGACAAAAGGUUUCGUGAUUGGUAUCUAAGGUCCCAAGUUCGAAUUCUAGUUGAUUUACAUUUUCAGCUAAAUUUAUUUUUAAAUGAAAUAAACGAAGUGGGUAGCAUUCUCUCUCAAAAAAAAAAAAAAAAAAAAAAAAAAAUUCUUUGUUGAUUCAAUUAAGCAUAUCCAUAUAAUAAAUACAUUAAUUGACAGUUUAUAGGGUGGACCAAAAUAUUUCUAAGAUAUUCAAGGUAGCUCCUUAGCUCCUUAAGAUUUUUCAAGACAGCCCUUUGGCUCCUUUCCAAGAUUGGGCCAGAUUGGACCAAAAUAUUUCCAAGAUAUUCAAGACAGCUCCUUAACUCCUUCUCAAGAUUUUUCAAGACAGCUUCUUAGCUCCUUCCCAGGUUGGGCCAGAUUUGACCAUGAUAUUUCCAAAAUAUUCUGGUUUUUCAAGAUAAAUCUAUAACAUACAUGAAUUCUCAGUUUUGGAACAGGUGGCGAGCGUGGAGGCAGGGGCGAGCGCGGGGCGCGGGCAGGCGGGCGCGCGUGGCGGGGCGCCGCGUGGCGCGGGCACGCGCGGCACACGGGCGCGGGCAAGGAGGCGCAGAGCCGGGCGGGGGCGCGGGGACAGGUGGCGCGAGCGGCGAGCGGAGGCGCAGGCAGGGGCGAGCAUGGGGCACGGGCCGACGGCGGCGUGGCGGGCGCCGCGCGCGGGCGGCGGGCUGCGCGGCAGGCGGGCACGUGGGGCGGGGCACCGCUGGCGCGGUGGGGGAGAAGGAGAGGGAGAGGAGAGGGAGAGCGGCGCUCAGUGGGCGGGCAGCCGUGGCGCGCGGCGGCGGCGCGGCAGGCGGGCGCGCUCGGCGGCCCGCCGCGUGGCGCGGGGAGAGAGCGGGAGAGGAGAGGAGAGGAGAGGAGAGGAGAGGCGGGGCCCAGCUGAGGGGAGAGGAGAGGGAGAGAAAGGGAUUUUUUUUUUUUGUCUCUUUUGUCUCUUUCUACUUUUUCUUUUUAUUAUUUUAUAUAUUUGUUCUCUUAAUAUAUAAAAAAAUUUAUAAAUUUUUUUAAUUCAAUCUAAAUUUUUAUUUAUUUUUAUAAAAUUUAAAAUAUAUAAAUAAUUUUAAAUAAGUUAAAUUAUUUGUAUUCAAUAUAAAUUUUAAUUAAGCCUGAAUAAAAGAAUUAUUAAAAAUAUAUAAAAAAUAAUGAAGGAAAUUUAAAAAUGAAACAUAAAAAAGUAAAAAAAAAAAAUAAAAGGAUAAGAUAGAUAAAAGAAGCAUGAGGCAAAAUGUAAGAACAAUAAAUCAAUUUUUCUAAAAAUUAUAUAUAAUUAUAAUAAUAAUUAUAAUAUAUAUAAGUAUAAAUAUAAUUAUAUAUAAUUUCUUAUUAGUAUGAUUUUUGUCUUUAUUUUUUGUAAUCUUUCUUAUAAUUUUAUUACAGCAAUAGUUGUUUAUUUUUUAGUUAUUUUUUUAUACAAUUUUUUGACUCUUUUUUUUACUAUUAUUUAUUUUAUUUAUAUAUUUAUUUCUGCAGAAUCGUUCCGCCGCAACGCGCAGGUCCUUCACUAGUACAUAUAUGAAUCUUCAGUUUUGGGACAGUUGGCAGCGAGAGCGGAGGCGCCGGUGGCUGCGGGCGCGGGGCACGGGCAGGCGUGGGGCGCCUAUAGGUUUGUAAAGCUUAUGUUCUUAGGCAUCAUAAAACUCAUACAGCACAUAAUCAGAUGUCUCAUGACUAUUCGUCGUUAGGCAUUAUAAUCUACAGUAAAACUCUUACCAUUAAUAUUUGGUUUUCUCAGUGUUUUACGACUAUUCCUUGUUUUGAGUUCUUGACUAAGAACUAGUUAGAAGAUAGAAAAUGUUUAAUUGACAAACUUAGGAUACCCAAGUGAUUUCCAUCUGUAUUACUCCAAACUAAAGCAAUAAUUACCAGAAACUUUCCUGCAAAAUGCAACCAAGGGACACCGCCAGAAGUAAGUGUAGAAAUGACAAGCAGCGAGAAUGGUUCGAUAACCUCUAAGGAGGGUAAAACAAUGGAAGGCAGAUAGCAUAAAACAGAGCACUUACACAAUAUCCAUUUCCACAGCUAAUAUUAAGCAAUAAGUUCACUAACCUAUAAUUCCUAAAAACUAGGAUCAGCUUAACAAAUCCUAAGGACUCGAUAACAGAAUAACAAAUAAACAGCAAUAUGUUAACAAUACGCAAUACUUGGUCACAAAGCAACCCACAUGCUGGUGUUGUUUUAUUCAAUACUCCCCCUCAACACCAGCUUCUACUCCUUUUACCAUACCGAGCUGAUGACAUAAACUUUCGAACUUGUUGCUAGUCAAGCUUUUUGUAAACAGAUCUGCAGCUUGGUCUUCUGUUCUGACAUGUUCCAACUUAAUUUCUUCUUGCAAGACUCUCUCUGAUAAAAUGAUAAUGCACCUCCACAUGCUUAGCUCUUGCAUGAAAAACUAGAUUCUCCGCCAAACGUAUUGCCGACAAGUUGUCACAAUACAAAGAGAUACCAUACUCUGUUGGCUGAUGCAAGUCUUUCAAUAAUCGCAUAAGCCAAGUGCUUUCUUGAGCUGCCAUUGCUGCUGCUCGGUACUAUGCUUCAGUGGUUGAUAAAGACACUGUUGGUUGUCUUUUGCUACACCAAGAAAUUGCUCCGAACCCAAGCAUGAAAACAUACCCGGUAGUUGAACGUCGAGUAUCAUGGUCGCCUGCAUAGUCAGCAUCACAAUAGCCAACUAGUCUGCAAUUCGCACCUUUCUUGUACAUAAUACCAUACCCAAGCGUACUCUUCACAUACCUCAAGAUUCGACGAAAAGAUUCCAAAUGAGUUUUCUUUGGACUUUGCAUGUAACGACUCAUCACACCAACUGCAAAAGAAAUAUCUGGUCUUGUUAAAGUUAAGUAGAUAAGACUACCCACUAACUGCCGGUACAUGGUAGCAUCUUCUAAAUCCUUCCCUUCAUGAGCACACAUUUUGGCGUUUGGCUCCAUCGGUGUCGAAAUUGGCUUGCAUUUAAGCAUUACAAACUUCUUCAACAAAUCUUUGGAAUACUUUUGCUGAUGGAGAAAUAUUCCUUCCUUAGUACAGUCAAUCUCUAAACCAAGAAAAUGCUUGAGCUUUCCAAGUUCUUUCAUCUGAAAGCGAACUGACAAAUUCUCCUUGGUUUGGAGAAUUUCUUCUUCACAAUCGCCCGUGAUGAUUAAAUCAUCCACAUACACCAGCAAAAUAGCUAGCUUCCCUCCUUUAGUUUUGACAAACACGUUAGAAUCCGCAGAUGUCAUAGAAAAAUCGCUAUGAGUGAGAAAUUCGGCAAUCUUACCAUACCAAGCCCUCAGUGCCUGUUUUAAUCCAUAGAGAGCCUUCCGGAGCUUACACACAUACUCAGGAUGGUCUUGACUUUGAAAGCCCAUCGGUUGGCUUAUGUAGAUCUCCCGAUCUAGCUCCCCAUGCAAAAAUGCAUUCUUCACGUCCAUUUGCCACAAGUUCCAACUUUUGCUAGCUGCAAGUGCUAGUAAGACUCGUACAGUUGUAAACUUUGCAACUGGACUAAACGUUUCAUCAUAGUCUAGUCCAUAUUGUUGAGAGAACCCUCGGGCGACCAGACGAGCCUUGUGCCUUUCUAUUGAUCCAUCUGUGCGACGCUUUAUUUUGUACGCCCAUUUGCAAGAAAUAGGUUUCACAUCUCUUGGCUUUGAUACGAGUUCCCAAGUCUAAUUUUGCUUUAAUGCAGCAAUUUCCUCUUCCAUAGCUUUAAUCCAUUCCGGACUCUGGGAUGCUUCCUCAAAUGUCUCUGGUUCUUUUGCAUCUGCUUCUUCUACUAUGGCGGCAUUGGCAUACUUGGGAUUUGGCUUUCUGGCUCUUGUUGAUCUUCUAAGUGCAGUUGGUGUACUUGGCUCGCCUUCUUCACUUGGCCUUUGGUAUACACUUGUUUGCCAAGGAGUUUGAGCUAUGCCUUCUUCAACAUCUCCACCAUCGUCUGCAACCUCUGUUUCACCUGAACUUAACUGAGAUUGAGAAAUUUUUAAUUCUUCCUUAAAAAUAUCUGAGUCUGAGAGUACUUCCUUGUUUGAGGACCACCAUGAGGAAGCUUCAUCAAACACCACAUUCCGAGAUGUGUAGCACUUCCCGGUUGUUGGAUCGCAACAUCGCCAACCUUUCCUUUGAUUGUCGUAUCCUACAAAGAUACACCAAACAGCCUUUUUUUCCAUCUUGCUACGUAAAUGGUCAGGUACAAAUACAUAGCAUACACAUCCAAAAACUCGAAAAUGACCAACAGCAGGUUUCAUGUUCCAUAUUUUUUCAAAUGGUGAAAGAAAGUAUAACCUUUGUUGAGGAAGCCUAUUGGUCACGAAGGCCGCAGUCUUCAUCGCUUCCGCCCAAAAUCGUCCCGGGACAUUCUUUGCAUGAAGCAUACUUCGACAUACUUCUGCCAGAUGCCUGUUCUUCCUUUCUGCUACCCCAUUUUGCUGCGGAGUGUUGGCACAUGUGAAUUGAUGGCGUAUUCUGCAUUCCCGAAGGAAGUUUGAGAACUCAUGUGAGGUGUACUCUCCCCCGUUGUCGGUGCGUAAGCAACGAAUUCUUUUACCAACCUCCGCUUCCGCUACCUUCUUGAACUGUUUGAACUUUGAAAAAGUUUCAGAUUUUUCUUUCAUAAAAUAAACCCAUACGUACCUCGAGAAGUCGUCAAUGAAGAUCACCAUGUACUUCAUCCCACUAAUGGAGGCUUGCUUAAUUGGUCCAAACACAUCAGAGUGAAUCAACUCUAAUGGUUCCUUCGCUUUAAAUUUGGACUUUUCGUACGGCAACUGAUGCGCUUUCCCAUAUUGACAGCCCGCACAUAUACUAUUUGUUCUCACUUCGAGUUGUGGAAGUCCCUUUAACAUCGACUUCUUCAUCAUCACAUCUAGCUUGGAAUAGCUAACGUGACUUAGCCGCACGUGCCACAAGUCUGCUAUCUCGUUCCUUCUCGUCUUGUCUAUAUAUGCUGUUUCCGCAGACAUCACGUAGACUGACUCCAAUCUUCGUCCCUUCAUUGCUGGCUCUUUUGGAACAUGAUAGACAUUUUGGAGUGGCACCUCGAUAUCAGUGCAUUGGGGAGAGACUACCGUGCUACCGAUGUGAGCUAUCGGUAACUUUGAGUUAUUUGCCGUCACCACCACCCGACUUUCCUUGUACUCUGACAAGUUCUGCAGCUUCUCUAUAUUGCCAGUCAUAUGGUUUGAGCAACCUGAGUCAACGAUCCAAUCAUCCUCAUAAUUGAUUUGAUUAAGUGUUGUUGCUGCAAGGGCUAGCUCCUCUUUUUCCAUAGCAAAGAGAGCCUCAGCAUCCCAUUCGUCUUCACUUUUGGAAGUAGCAGCGUUACUCUCGACGACCUUCUUUUUUGACCAGCAAUCUUUCGCCAUAUGACCCUUCUUUUUGCAGUUGUAGAACUUCCCUUCAAACUUUUGGCCAUUGCGAUAGUUCUUAUAACCUCUCCCAGCACGAACACUCCCUUCACCUUGAUGACUUCUCGCCUUGUCAUCAUUCUUUUUGGAUCCAUCGUUGACAUGCUGCUUGGAAUUCCACCUGCCUUUAUUGGCAUAGAGGGCCUCUUCUUCAUUCUUCAACGAGACUCCUCCCAUUUGCUUAGUUAAGGCUUCUUGACCUGCUAGCAAAUUUUUGAAUUCUACAAGUGACGGCUGAGUUUGCCAUCCUUGUAUAGCAGCAACAAAGCUCCUAAAUUCUGGCUUCAAACCAUGGAUGAUGAUCCGCUUCAUCCUGGUGUCGCCAAUAGGAGCCUUCGGAUCCAACUCAGUAAUCUCUCGGCAUAGCGUCUUCACUUUGUGGAAAUACUGUGCGACCAUCAUGUCGCGUUGUGCUACAGACAGCAAUUCACUCUCUAAGAGUUGAAGCUUCGUAUCGUUCUUCUUAGAGAACAGUUUGGCGAAUGUAUCCCAGGCUUCUUUGGGAGUUUCCGCAGCCCGGAUAUGCUCUAGCACAUCUUCUUCAGCCAUCAUCUUCAAAACGAACAUGGCUUUGCCUGCUUUAAUCUUCCACUUCCGCAAUGUCCCAUUCGCAUCUUCAGCCUCCAGUUGUCUCACAUCAUUUCCAUUUAUGAUCUCCCACAAAUCCUGGCCUUGCAUGUAAGACAUCAUGCAUGUAGACCAAGAAUUGUAGUUCUGGUUGUUGAGCUUCUUGAUUCCGCCAACGACUUGAAGAUCACCCAUCUUGGCAGUAGAGAUACUUACCAAAAAGCUCAGAACCUGGCUCUGAUACCAAAUUAUAGAAAUGACAAGCAGCGAGAAUGGUUCGAUAACCUCUAAGGAGGGUAAAACAAUAGAAGGCAGAUAGCAUAAAACAGAGCACUUACACAAUAUCCAUUUCCACAGCUAAAAUUAAGCAAUAAGUUCACUAACCUAUAAUUCCUAAAAACUAGGAUCAGCUUAACAAAUCCUAAGGACUCGAUAACAGAAUAACAAAUAAACAGCAAUAUGUUAACAAUACGCAAUACUUGGUCACAAGGCAACCCACAUGCUGGUGUUGUUUUAUUCAAUAGUAAGGCCUCCUGUAACAAAUGGUCAUCUGAUAAAGAGUACCUAUAUUACUUCGUGGGUCAGAAGUUUUACCCUUUUCAGUUAGUUCAUGUCUCUAUUACAUUUCUGAGAGCUUUUCAGAGAAGCUGCAGCCAUCCUCAAGACUUCUUGGUGAAGCCAUACAAGGAUACUUCACAUUUAGGCUCCCUUUAUCAUCUCAAAAUUUUCAAACUUUUCCAUGAAAGAAAAUCCAACUUAGCCACAAAAAAUAUAAAAGUAAACUUGCUCGGCGCAGCAUAGGUACUGCAAAUGGUGGGCAUCCUGUAGUCAAGUUGAUAUCGCAUUCAAUUUUAGAUUAAGGUAAAUGCUGCCCCAGGAUCAAGAAACUCCUGGUCUAGUGGUGAUUUACUUGCGGAUUUUCUAUCAACUUUGAUCGAGGAGGUCUUAUUAUAUCUGUUACUCUUUUGUAUAUGGCCAUCCAUUUGGUGUUUGAACUCUAAUGCUUUCUAUACAGGUACAUGUUCCCUUCUAGAAGGGAUUUAGUCUAUUUCUUAAUUUGAGCCGCAAAAUUAUGGGUCUAAUUCUCAAAUAUUAGGGCCACCUAGUGUAAGAGAGUUGAAUUUUUUUUACUGAAAUAAUUCUGCCCAUAUUAAUUGAAUUCACAGUUUUAAACCACAUGCACAAGAUAGCUAAAUAGACUUUUGAACCAAGGGUUUAAGUGCCCGUCGGCACGGGCCGUAUCUACCGUACCGUACCGUGCCAACAAGAUACCAGCAUGAUAUAGACCCCGUGCCGAUGGCACAGUUCAAAACCCUCUAUUCUUUAAAUUAAUAAAUAAUUUUUUCAAUAAAGUUCAAAAUAUGUGAUAAAAAGACAUAAUAAAAAUGUUAAAAUAUUUUGUUGCUAAAGAAAACAAAUAUUUCAUACUAUUAUGUGUCGGCACACAAGAAUUUUUUUGACCGGCAUGCAUUGGCACGGCUCGGCACGUACCGUGCCGGCAAGUUUCCGGCACGACCCCGUGCCACGGCACUUAAAUCCUUGUUUUGAACUCUGUAGGUAACUGCGUGACUUGUGUCUUUUUUUUUUUUUUGAGAGAGAAUAACUUGUGUCUUGAUUCAGUUCUUCAACGUUGCAAUUUGCAAACAAUGUCGAUUCAGGAAAUGAUGUAGUAUUCUUGUUUAGUACUAGCAAGUUACCAACAAUACUGCAAUGUCGUAUUGUGUUUAUGUAUGAAUUUAGUAAGAAAUGCUACUUCUGAAAGACUGGUGAUUCAAUUAGGUUUUUUCUAGCUCCAACUUUCAAUUUUGGGUUAACUGCUCUUCGCUACCUAUGUAUGAAAUGAAGAAAGAAAAAUUAGUGCCAAUUCUGUGUUCAAUAAACUUUGUGGGCAGAAUGAUUUGUCUCACAAAAGAAAGGGUGAAAUCGUGUCAUGCUAUGGUUUAGUCAUCUAGUUAAGGUAAGGUAUUCAGAAUAUUUUGUUGCAUCUUUAUUUCUGUCGAUUAAACCAACUUAUCUUUGAUUUCCUUGUUAACUUAUGUUUGGUUCAUUCUUUUAGCGUAUUUGUCCUCAUUACUCUUAUUGUGGUUAUUGUUGCAGGAAACACAUUGGCAUAGAAGAGAUGCUUAGAGAUAAGAGCCAACCUAAGAAAGUGUUGGGAUUUAGACAAGUCACUGGAAACAGAAACAACAGGGUUCCUUCUGUCAUAAUUUUCUGAGAUAGAAAAGUUCCCAAAGCUCGCACGUGUAUUGCAAGACGUUAUGAAACUACACGCAGCAAGUGCACAAAUUUGGGCUUUUGCAGAUAACAUAUUUCAUGUUCUUUUAGCUUCUCUCUCUUUUUCAAUAGAUUUUUUGGAGUUUCUAACGCAGGUUGUGCACUUGUAUAUGAGGCUGAUAAGAAGCUAAUAGUGUCGUACGCCGCAUUAUCAUAAAUGAAAUGCAUGAUUUUCUCAGGAGAGAAAACAAGCACUUUAUUGUAAUAUAUCUUCUAUUUGAUCAGUCCAUAAUUUUUCUAAGCUACUUUUGUGCAAUACUAGAGGAUUGAGUUGCCUGGUUGAUAUCUGUACAUCUUUUUCAUAUAGUGUAAAUAACUCCCAUAAGGGGAUACUUGAUUUUUCAGUGCUUUUUUGAUAAAUUGAGUGUCUUCUACUAAGCAGGAAUUAUAUGUAGUAGUAUUUUACAUGCUGUAUGUUGGUAUCUGUCAGUUCUGGGCUUUGAAUGGCAGUUCUAUUGUAGGAAUCAGCAUAAGUUUGCUGAUUAGAUUCUGUUCUAUCUUGUUAUUGCAACUUAGUCCCUAAACUUGCGGUAUAUUACUAUAGAAAAGUCCUCUUAAACUCAAUGUUUUGAAACUCAGGUUGAUUUGGCCGGUUAGAUCGUGAAUUAGUGCUCAGACAAGUUUGGUUCGAUCCACAAAAUUGGGCCAGCUUUAAUCCAUUCAGAUCGAUGGUUCAACCUGGGAACUAGUCCAAUUUUAUAAAAACCGAUUUUAAAGAUGUAAUUGUGAUAAUUAGAAGAUUAGGGACUUUAAUUAAUGAAACUUGGAUUUUAAAAAAAAACCAAUUGCAAUAACUAGAUAGCUAGAAACUCAAUUUAUCUAAUAUCCGCAUCGAUUAUAUUGCAGCACUAUGUAGCGGAAUAUAAUAAAACUAUUCAAAUAUUAAAUAUUAUAAUAAUAAUAAUCAAAUAAUAUAAUCACAAAAAUUUUUCUAAAAAUAUACUUUUUAUAUGUAAGUAAUUUAUAAGUUUGGGAAUGAAUUUUUUAUACUAAUCACGUACCGCGCGUGGAUAACAACCAAUUUAGCCAGAUCCCAACUUGUGGAUCCCAACACGACAAGGUUCACGAGCUGGACCUCCAGAUGCUUGCCGCUGGCAACGCAUAGACUUGAAUUAAAACCAUAAAAAGUAAUAAAGUAUAUUAAUUUUGCUUAGAAUUAAAAUAAACAAAAGUAAUAAUAAAUUAAAAAAUAUCUUUCAUUUUUUUUUUCUUUCUUUCUAUAGUUAGUCCUAAUUAAAAAUUAGCUUCUUUAACACAAAACAUAAUAAUACAAUUGAAAAAAUUAAAUAUGAUAGUCGUAAACGUAAUAAUCAAUAUAAUAUAAAAAAGAAAUUUUAGUAUAAUAUCAAACAUUAUUUUCAAAAAUAUAAUAUCCAACAUAUUAAACUAAUUUUUCAUCAAAAAAGCUUCCAUAUAGAUAGAUAUAUCAAUACACAAGUCCAAUCCACCAUUGUGAAUUAUAUACACCAAUCUAUAAAGAAAACAAACAUUUAAAACUAAAUAUAUUAAAAAUACUCUAGUUUUUUUUAUUAAAAAAAUACUUUAUUACCUUAAUUGUUCAAAAUUAAAGUCGCAUUUUUAUUUAGUUUUAUACAAUGUGUUUAUAGAUCUUGAAUAACAGAUUGUAGGGUUCAUGUGGCAACAAAAUAUUAACUAUAAUUUAUAAUAUAAAGAAUUAGUUAUUUACUGUACAGAAUGUAACGUUAUGAGAUAUCUAAUUUAUCAUUUUUAUAAAUUCAUGAGUACAUAAUAAUGCUGCAAUAGUCUUGCAAUUUAAAGACUUACAUAAUGGAUGAAUAACACUAACCUCCGGCACAACAAUUGGCACAAAAAUAGCCAAUAUAUAUCGAGCUCUUCUUCAACACAAAACAUAAUAAUACAAUAAAAAAUAUUAAAAAUGAUAGUUGUAAAUGCAAUAAUCAAUAUAAUUUUUAAAAAAUAUGUUAGUACAAUAUUAAACAUUAUUUUUAAAAACAUAAUAUCCUGACAUAUUAAACUAAUUUUUCAUCAAAAACUUCUAUGUAUAUAUAGAUAUAUCAAUACACAAGUCAAAUCCACCAUAGUAAAUUAUAUACACCAAUCUACAAAGAAAUCAAACAUUUAAAACUAAAUAUAUUAUAGAUACUCUAGUAAUCUAGUUUUUUUAUUAAAAAAAUAAUUUAUUACAUUAAUUUUUCAAAAUUAAAGUUGUAUUUUUAUUUAGUUUUAUACAAUCUGCUUAUAGAUCUUGAAUAAUUGAAUAAUAGAUCGUAGCAUAUGAAUAUUACUGUAUUGAAUAUGACAAAACUUUCAGUGGGAAAGAAAAUAUGGAGAAUCACUACGAGGACAAGCAUGAAGACGUUAGUCGUCUCACUAGCUGCUGUUCGAAAUGUCUCAACCGCUUUCGAGAUAUUGCAAAAAUAUUUCACCGAUAUCCUCCAUUUGCCCGAUGUACAGUGUAUGUAAAAAUCGAUAAAAAGUGCUAGACCAAUAUUAUGAUAAAAAGUGAAUUACCUGAAUCCAGCUUAUUUAUCUCUACUCUAAACCUAAUCUAUAUGUUUUAGGAGCAAGCUUCCUAAUAAAGCACAUAAUUUUUUGACAAAAUUGUUCUAGUGCUUAAAUCUCUAUUGCCUAAUUCAUGAUGAAAGGAUUCCAUACCUAUAUAACCAUGUAAGCUAGCAAAGGACAAAAAAAAUGGUUGCAUUAUAUGUUUGACUUUAUUAUGUAUUUUUUUGUUCUAACGUACAUCAUACAAUAAGUUAGUCUAAAAGUGAAUUACAUGAAUCCAGCUCAUUUAUUCUAGUCUAAGUCUAGUCUAUAUAUUUUAGGAGCAACGCUUUCUAAUGAAGCAUAUAGUUUUUCGGUAAGAUUGUUCUAAGGUCUAAUUCUCUGUUACCUAAUUCAUGAUGAAAGGAUUCCAUGCCUACAUAACCAUGUAAUCCGGCAAAAAAACAACAGCAAAACAAUGUAUAUAUAGAUAUAUCAAAACAUAAGUCAAAUCCACAAUAAUGAAUUAUAUACACCAAUCUACAAAGAAAACAAAUAUUUAAAACUAAAUAUAUUAAAAAUACUCUAAUUUUUUAUUAAAAAAAUAUUUUAUUAACUUAAUUGUUAUUUUUAUUUAGUUUUAUACAAUCUGCUUAUAGAUCUUGAAUAAUUGAAUAAUAGAUUGUAGCAUAUGAAUAUUACUGUAUUGAAUGUGACAAAACUUUCAAUGGGAAAGAAAAUAUGGAGAAUCACUAUGAGGACAAGCAUGAAGACGUUCGUCGUCUCACUAGCUGCUGCUCGAAAUAUCUCAACCGCUUCCAAAAUAGUGUAAAAAGAUUUCAUCGAUGUCUUCCGAUUGGUCGGAUGUACAGUGUAUGUAAAAAUCGAUGAAAAGUGCUAGACCAAUAUUAUAAUAAAAAGUGAAUUAUCUUAAUCCAGCUCAUUUAUCUCUAGUCUAAACCUAGUCUAUAUGUUUUAGUAGCAACCUUCCUAAUGAAGCACAUAAUUUUUCGGCAAGAUUGUUCUAGUGCUUAAAACUCUGUUCAUGAUAACAGAAUUUCAUGCCUACAUAACCAUGUAAUCUGGCAAAGGACAAAAAAAAUGAUUGCAUUAUAUGUUUGACUUUAUUAUUUUUUUUUUGUUCUAACGUACAUCAUAUAAUAAGUCAGUCUAAAAGUGAAUUACAUGAAUUUAGCUCAUUUAUCUCUAGUCUAAAUCUAGUCUAUAUGUUUUAGGAGCAACGCUUUCUAAUGAAGCAUAUAGUUUUUCGCCAAGAUUGUUCUAGUACCUAAUUCUCUGUUGUCUAAUUUAUGAUGAAAGGAUUCUAUGCCUACAUAAUCAUGUAAUCUGGCAAAAAACAACGGCAAAAAAAUAUAUAUAUAGAUAUAUCAAAACACAAGUCAAAUCCACCAUAAUGAAUUAUAUACACCAAUCUACGAAGAAAACAAACAUUUAAAACUAAAUAUAUUAAAAAUACUCUAAUUUUUUAUUAAAAAAUAUUUUAUUACUUUAAUUGUUCAAAAUUAAAGUUGCAUUUUUAUUUAGUUUUAUAUAAUCUGCUUAUAAAUCUUAAAUAAUUGAAUAAUAGAUUGUAGCAUAUGAAUAUUACUGUAUUGAAUGUGACAAAACUUUCAGUAGGAAAGAAAAUAUGGAGAAUCACUACGAGGACAAGCAUGAAGACAUUCGUCGUCUCACUAGCUGCUGCUCGAAAUGUCUCAAUCGCUUCCGAGAUAGUGCAAAAAGAUUUCACCGAUGUCCUCCGAUUGGCCUGAUGUACAGUAUGUAAAAAUUGAUGAAAAGUGAUAAAAAGUGAAUUACCUGAAUCCAGCUCAUUUAUUUUUAAUCUAAAUCUAGUCUAUAUAUUUUAGCAGCAAGCUUCCUAAUGAAGCAUAUAAUUUUUCAACAAGAUUGUUCUAGUGCUUAAAUCUCUGUUGCCUAAUUCAUGAUGAAAGGAUUCCAUGCCUACAUAACCAUGUAAUAUGGAAAAGGACAAAAAAAAUGGUUGCAUUAUAUGUUUGACUUUAUUAUGUAUUUUUUUGUUCUAACGUACAUCAUACAAUAAAUUAGUAUAAAAAUGAAUUACAUGAAUCCAGCUCAUUUAUCUCUAAUCUAAAUCUAGUCUAUAUAUUUUAGGAGCAACGCUUUCUAAUGAAGCACAUAGUUUUUCGUUAAGAUUGUUCUAGUGCUUAAUUCUCUGUUGCCUAAUUUAUGAUGAAAGGAUUCCAUACCUACAUAACCAUAUCAUACCUACAUAACCAUAUAAUCCGGUAAAGAAACAACGGGAAAGAAACAAAAAAAUAGUUACAUUAUAUGUUUGGCUUUUUUUAUGUCUUUUUUUGUUCUAAUAUAUAUUAUAUAUAUAUAUCAUACAAUAAGCUACAACAAAAUAUUACUCUUGCAAACUUAAGCAAUCAAUAGUUACAUAAUCAAUACAGAAUAGAUUGCAAUUAUAGUUUUCUAUGUCAUGACAUUAUUAUCUUCUCUAUAAUCUUAUAUAUCUAUAAAUGGACUAUUUUUCAUUAGGGAUAAUUGCCUAUAUACCCCUCAUACGUUUCAAAAUAUCCGAUUUACCCUUACUUUUUUUUUCUUUCUCAUUUUUAUUCUCUCAAUUCAACUAAGCAUAAAAUGUGAAAAAACAUAACUAAAUUUUUGAAUAAUGAAAAGUGUAAUUUUGAGAUGAAAAAUAAGGAGCUCUUUAAUUCCUUAGAAAAGUGUGAAAAGAAAAUUUUAAGAAAUAAAUUUUCAUGAAAAAUAAUUUUUUCUAAAUUUUCACUAAUUUGGUUUCAAUGAAAAUAAAAUUUUAUGAAACUUUUUUUUUUCCAUUAUCUAUGAAAAACUAGCAUUUUUGUUUUUCUUAAAAAAUUCAAAAAACAAAAAUACCAAUUUUCUAUGAAAUAUGAAUUUUUUGAAAAAAAAUACUUAUUUUUUUCCAAAUCAAAGAGCAAAAAGUUAGAAAAAAAAAUUUCAUAAAAAAAUUUUCCACAUACUUUUGGAACCAAACAGCCCCUAAAGUGAUGCAAUUGAGAUAUUAGUGAACCGGUGUAUGGCAGAUGUGGCGCAACCGGUGCAGGCAAUAAUUUCGUCGGUUCAGGCUCAUCCCGCUUCGAUCCCAGCCCCGAGUCCACCCUCCACCCCCCUCUCUCUCUCUCUCUCUCUCUCUCUCGUCCUCGUUAUACAUUUCAGAUCUCCUCCAUCUCCUCCUCUCCCUCUCCAUCUCUCCCGUCGCCGAUCCCUAGGGUUCGAAUUAGGGUUUCGAAGGCGACAUCGCCAUUCCGCACGAAGCCGAUCCCGGAGAUCCGUGCGGUGGAGGCCUCCGUGCGCCGCGAGAUCCAGGAGAAGAAGGAGGAGCUGCGCCAGCUCGUGGGGCGGAGCUACCGCGACCUCAUCGACUCCGCCGACUCCAUCCUCCUCAUGAAGUCCUCGUGCGAGUCCAUCUCCUCCAACCCCGCCCGCGCCCGCCUCUACGGCGUCGCGUCCCGCGUCAAGUACCUCGUCGACACUCCCGAGAACAUCUGGGGUUGCCUCGACGAAUCCAUGCUUCUCGAAGCUUCCUGUCGCUACCUCCGAGCCCGGGAGGUCCACGGCCUCCUCCUCGCCCCUCGCGGCGCGGGCGCUGCCGCCGAUCUCGACGUGCUCGCCAAGUUCCCCCUGCUGCGGCACCAGUGGCAGAUCGUCGAGAGCUUCAAGGCCCAGAUCUCGCAGCGCAGCCGCGAUCGCCUCCUGGACCGGGGGAUCGGCGUUGCCGCCUACGCUGACGCCCUCGCCGCCGCCGCUACGAUCGACGAACUCGACCCCAAGCAGGUGCUUGCGCUGUUCCUCGACUCGCGGAAGUCGUGGAUCUUGCAGAAGCUCGGGAGCGCCACCUCGGAUCUGGAUUCAUGUUCUUCUGUGCUCUGUGAUGUGGCGGGGACAAUUCGGAGCACUUUGGGGCAGGUUGGAGAGCUCUUCGUGCUCGCUUCGAAUGAGAUGCCUCUGUUCUACCAGACCAUGCUCACCUCACCUCCUGGGACGCAGCUCUUUGGGGGCAUCCCAAAUCCAGAGGAGGAGGUGAGGCUUUGGAAAUCACAUAGGGAGAAAUUAGAGUCUGUGAUGGUUUUACUUGAGACGAAUUUCGUCGCUCAGACCUGCUCAUUGUGGUUGGAGGACUGUUGUGAUGAGAUUUUUGGAGAAUUGUCUGGGGGAAAGUUAUUGAUUGAUACGAUUGGAAGCGGAGAGGGAUUGGGGUCUGCAGAGAAGCUUCUCCGAGAUUCUUUGAACGGACGGGAAGGGCUGGAGGAGAGCUUGGAGCAGUGGCUGAGGAGUGUCCUUGGUACGGAAGUCGAGUCACCAUGGGACCAGAUUCGCGGUCUUAUCUUGAAGGAUGGGAAGGACAUUUUGGAAGAUCGGUUGGAGAAGGUAUUUAUGCAGAGGAUGAAGGGGAUUGUGCAUUCAGAGUUUGAGAACUUGAGUAAAGACCUUAAUUUGGGGAGUUCGAUCGAGACUAUUGUGGCCAACACUGAUUCUAAAGAGGGGAAUGAUUUUGUAACCUACAUGCGUAAAUUUUCAACUGGUGGAGGGGUUUGGUUUGCAGAGACUAACCAAAAGAAAGUAGGCAUUCUGCAUACCUUGAAACCAAUUCCUGAUGAGAAUGAUUUCCAGUCUUGUCUAAAUUCAUAUUUUGGACCUGAAGCCAGUCGAAUUAGAGAUGCACUGGACAGUAAAUGCCGAAUCAUUUUGGAGGAUCUCUUAAGCUUCGUAGAGUCUCAUAAUUCGACUUUGAGGUUAAGGGAAUUAGUGCCAUAUCUUCAGGAGAAGUGUUUCAAGACCAUCUCGAUCAUAUUAAAGGAACUGGAAGACGAGCUUGGUAAGCUGUCUGGUUUGUUAGGAAGCUACAAUGUAGAUAAGCCUUUAUUAACACCUUCAGUGAUUGUUGAAAGAUCUCUUUUCAUUGGUCGUCUAUUGUUUGCAUUAAGAUAUCAUUCAAGCCACAUACCCUUGAUGCUUAGUUCUCCAAGGCAGUGGAUUAAAGAAACAGGUGGUGCAGCAUUUAAUAUUUCAUCUUCACCUUUAUCGCGGCAAUCUAAGGUCUCUUUUGAGUCUCCAUUUUCCACCACACCCAGAAAACAAUCAUUUGAGAGCCUUAGAAGCCCCAAAAAGCAACAUUUGGAUAGCCCUAGAAGGCAAACAGUUGCAGCAGCUGCUGCAUUAUUUGGGGGAGAUGACAGCAAGAACUCAAGGCUCAAUGAACUAAAUAGAACAUUGCAAGAGCUAUGCAUCAAAGCUCAUAGCUUGUGGAUAAUAUGGGUUUCUCGCGAGCUAGCAAACAUUCUUUCGGAGGAUCUCAAGAAAGACGAUGCAUUAUCCGCCUCCACUCCUUUACCGGUAUGAUGCUUGUGCAUAGUUCUUUUUGGCUCUAAAACUAGUAUUUCUUGUUUCCAUGAUUAUCUCUUGGAUUAUAUGCUCUAGAUUCAUUAUUCUUUGUCAUAGUUAUCGAGUCUUUGUAUUUAGUUAGUAGGCUGUAGUUAAUGCAUUCAAAAGAAAUAAUCUGAGCAUUAUUUGUUUAGAUCCACACAUAACACAUUUAAUGCGUAAGUUUGUAAUGUUGUUGCAUACAAGAAUAAGAUUAUUGGACUUUCAAGAAAUAUGAUAAUACUAAUGUUCACUAGCAUCAAAAGGUGAGUUCUCCUUAGAUGUUUCCUGUAAGGAUACAUUAACAAUUUCAGCAUGAAAAAUUGAAUAAAAAAGCAAUACAAGAUUAAGCUAGGGAACUCGGGGCUUUGUGCCUAAUGCACAAGGAUUCUCAUUGGAUGUUUUUAUGCACUAAAAGGGUGCCAAUUGAAAGAUGGAGUAAAAAAAACAAACAGUUCCGUCAACUUAAAGCGUGGUGCGUGGUAAGCAAAACACAACUAUGAUAAACAUGCACUUAGUCCCAGUACUUUUCUUCUGAACUGGUUGAUUAGAUUCAUCAGAAUUCAUGAAAUUUUCUAGUUUUUAAAAUUCAUUAUCAUAUCAACCAUUUCUAUUUUGUACCUCAGUCAUGACUCAUGAUACAGAAACAAAUUCCAAGGUGCCCAAGAAAUAUAGCUUUUCGGUUUAAAAUUAUGUAAACUCUUCAGUUUGAAGUUAUAUAAUCGUAUUGCUUGUAUAGGAAUCUUUCAUGAACAUUUGAACGGGAAAUGGAUCUCUAAACAUAAGUUCUUUCACAUUGGAAAUCAUUAAAUUGAACUGUAAUCUUGUUUAAAAUUAAUUCAUUUAGUGUAAGCACAAUCAUAAAGGAAGAAAACAUAAGUGGGUAAAAUGAUAGGCUACGAAUAUUUAUGCCUCCAUUCUACUUGAUGAUGUUGCUUAACACUUGUAACUACAUUGAUCAAACUCUGACUUGACCACAAUAUGUUGCGAGUUUCUAUCUUAUCUGUGUACUUUGCCAUUCUUGGUUUAGGCAAUUAAACAAGUGUUUUCAUUUACAUGCAUCGAGAUAAUUUAGUUUCCUCUUGCUCAUCCCCAACAUAUCCGUUAUCUAAUGCUGCUGAUCAAGGUUUAAAGUGUCGUGGCACGGGGGCGUGCCGUUAUGUCCCUGGCACGGUACGGUACAGGCACGCUUGCGUGCCGACACGUGGCACGCUUGCGUGCCGAUAGAUACGCAUGACCUCCUACUGGUACACUUUGGCACGGAUUUAUUUCAGUUUUUUUUGUUCCAAUAAACUCUUAUAAUGUUAUUUUGAAAUAUUUAAAUAAAUAAUAAUGAAUAUUUACUAUAUAUACCUUACUAUACUCAUUAAUUAACAUGCAUGUAAGCUUUUUGUAAGUAAAAUACAACUAUACCUGAUGUAGAAUAGAAAUUAAAAUACAAUAAUAAAAUUCACAAGUAUAAUAAUUAUUUAAAUUUACAUCUUUAUAUAGAGAUAACUGCUUUAUAUGGCAUAUUGUCAUAUGAAGAUAGAAGAUUUAUUUGACAAUAUUGAUAUAAAUAUUGUUGGUAUUGUGAGAAAGUCAUAUAUUCCCGAUAUUACAUCCAUAUCGGCCCGAGCCCUCCGCUUCCACCACAGANCCCUGUACCGUGCCCCCUUCUUGGGGGCACGGGCGGCACGGGGGAGGGGGCACGGUACGGCACACCCCGGUGCCGCCCGGCAUGGGCGGCACUUAAAACCUUGCUGCUGAUGCACGCUUCCUUUCUCCUAUCCUAAUCUUCCCCUCCAGCUUCCAAUACCUUAAUCCUCUAUUUGUACCCUCUUAUUUAUCUAGCUUGUCUUAGUUGGCAUAUUUCCUUGCUUAUAUUCAUAACCUCAUUUUUCAUUCAUAUCUUUCUACUUUAUUUGCUACUUGAUACACAUUCAUGGCCUUUUAUUUAAAGUUUCCACUGAGAUUUGCACCAUACCCUUCAUUCUCAGGCUCCGUUCAUCCUUUUGUACACUUUUCUGUCUACCUGUUUUACCUCUCUUAGUUCCACACAAAAAAGGAGGGCAUUAAAUCUGAGAAAGUUAAUGGUCCAGCAAUGAUCAAUAAUGAUGCAUUUAUGGGUAUGUGAGAUCAUCGAGAAGAUGAUAAUAUCAUGCUAUGGGGAACUAUAAUUACAAUCUGCUUUACAUUCGAUUCAAUAGCUACUAAUUGCAUAUUUUAGAAGGUUGCAAGAUGUUCUCAAUAUGUUCUUUAAGUAUGUUGCUAUUGUAGGAUGUACAUCAGAACAUAGAAAGACAUGAAAAAUCCAGAUACAUUAAUGCAAGCAUUUUUCAUGUCCUUUGUCAGACUACAUGGCCAUUACAUGGUUGGGUAGACAUGGAAUCUCAUCAUGAAUCAAGUGACAAAGCUAUUUGAGACAUAUAGGGAGAAUGUUACAAAGAACUAUAUGGUUUUGUAGGAAGAGUUGCUCCUAACAUACGGACUCAGAUCAAACUAGAGAGAAAUGGGCUGGAUUCGGACACUUUAGUACAAGCACAUUAUAUGUUAUUACAUAAAUUAGCCAUAUAGUAACACGGUUUGUCAUCAUUGUUAACAUUGGAGGUCAAUUUUUGAGACUAUCUUCAUGAUUUUGCUUGGUAUUUUGCAAUAAGGAAGCAAAUUAAAAGGUUUAACACUUAGAUACUUGUUGAAUACAUUUCUUUUGACAUUUAUCUCAAAUUGAACUAGUUGAGUUAAAUUUUAUUGCUAUGUGGGAAAGUUGUCCGAUGAUAAUGUUUGAUUCUUGCAGGGUUGGGAAGUCACAGUAGUCAAACAAGAGGGAUCAACUGAGGGUCCAUUGGAGAUGCAAAUAGCACUACCAUCUAUGCCUUCAUUGUACAUUAUUUCUUUUCUUUUCCAAGCAUGCCUUGAAAUUCAUAAAGUUGGAGGUCAUAUAAUCGACAAAGUUGUAUUGCAAAAUUUUGCAUCAGAGCUAUUAGAGAAGGCAAGUUGGUUCAUCUAACAAUAUAAUUUUGAUACUUUUAUUGUUACUUGUAUAGAAUAAUAUAUCCGAUAUUGUACGUUCGCUUAUUUCCCAGGUCUUUGGAUGUGUUUGUGUUCAUGCAUCCCUGUGUUUGGUGUUGUUAUUUCCUUUGUUGUGCCUUUUCAGUGGUCUAAGUUUUGUAGUUUAGUUAGUGUAUUUUAAGCCCUAAAAUUAACUGCAUAGUCUUUUGUUAGGCAUCAAGUGUUGUAAUUAAUGGUAAUAUUUUGGUCUAAAUGUCUUUAGUUACAAAAUUAUUGCUUAGUUGUUGCAUUUGUUUGGUGCUGUUUUAGCGAGCAUAUGGAGAAUUCUGUUUAGUUAUUUACUAAAUUUUUCUCUGAUUAGUUUACUUUUUUGGACUAUCUGGGUUGAGAUAGAAGAGUUGACUCUCCUAGUCCGUCAACUUCUUGUUUUGGAUAAGGAUUUGUGCAUGUAGGAGGGAUCAGAAAUUAAAGCUCUUCAGAUUUGCCAUGGAAAAGAUCAAUUUAACAUAUUAUCUUUCAUUUGACAGGACUCUUAUUUUUCUUCAUCUUUUUACAUUACUUGAUUAUAUAAAUUUUUAUUAUGCCUGAAUACAUUUUAACCCAAAAGUAAUGACAAAAUAUUCACCAUUAGAUUUGUACGGGUUCAUCACUUGUCAGCUAUGCCAUUUAGCCAAUAUCAUUUGAUGCUGCCUUAUUGAAUCUGAAGUGUUGCUCAAAGUCUGGCUGAGAAAGUAGGGCAUCAGUAAGGUGCCUGAAGAACCAUACAUCUUACAUGUUCUAAUAGAAGAUAUCGCACACCUGAACGUGUUUGAGAAGGAUUUGAAGGCUAAAAUGGGAGACGUUUGUCUCAAAUCAUCAAUCCCAUACAGGAAGAUGUUGAAGAAAUGAAAUGCAUCUAUUGAAUUACUGUACUGUAUGAGUAUAAGCAUUUUGUACCAUAAUGAUAAGGCCCGUUUUCAUAUUAUUGGUAUCAGCAGUGGGCUCUGGAGCAUUAUAUAAAUGAUCUUUACCUUCUGGUUUCCUUUCCCAGUUGCAAUGAAGUCAGUAGCUGUGCCAAUUCAAUGACAAACCGCUGGAUUUUAUAACUUUUUGAAGCUCAUGAUUGAGACCUAUACUCUGAUAUAAGUCCAUAAAAUUCUUUUUACUACCUUCAAUAUUCUGCUUGCUUAUGAUUUAAUCUUCUACUUUGGUUGUUUGUGUUAAACACAUGCCGCUUCGCUAGUCACUUGUAUGAAAAGUAAAAAGCUGUUAUUAACUGAAUAUGGAUUUAUGAUCGUGCUUUUAGUAAAUAUGGGAUCACUGAAUGUUUUACAAAUCUAAGGUUGAAUUCAAAUGACUGUUGUGCAUUUCGCAUUUUCUUGACCUAAACAUCUGACAAAUAUCACUGUGAAAUGAGGAAGCAUGAUCAUCAACUGUGAUAUGCCAAAGCUUACGAAUAUAAUUUAGCUGCUGCUUCAUAUUAUACACCUCCAUAUUCUCAUGAGUGAGCUGCUUGCAUGGUCUUACAGGUGGUGGGUGUCUAUGAAAGUUUUCUAUCAACUAUUGAGAGUGGUGAAUCACGGGUUUCAGAAAAAGGAAUUUUGCAAGUAUUACUUGAUCUACGAUUUGUUGCUGACAUUCUUUCUGGAGGCAAAAGUUCCGGAGUAAAUGCGAAAGAGGAACCCUCCAGAAGUAUGAUAUUGAAGACUUCAUUUAGAAGAAAGCCAUUGCAAGUCCAUGCUGAUUCUGCAACCAUAGAGCCUGUAACAAGAUUAAUUAGCAGGCUUUCACAGAGGCUGGAUCCAAUCGACUGGGCUACGUAAGCUCUUCCUCUUAUGAAUGCCUUUAACUCGUUUGAACUUACUAGGAAAGAUCUUUGGAUUCUCUGGUGCAUCCAGUUUCAUAUACUGUUAGAGCUAGACUUAAACUGUUGUUGCACCGAGGCAUGAAUCAAUGAUUUUUCUUCUUUCUUUCUUUCUUCCCCCCUUUAAUUCCACAGGUAUGAACUGUAUCUUUGGGAGAAUGAGAAGCAGUCCUACAAGCGAUAUGCUGUUCUCUUUGGAUUUUUUGUUCAACUUAAUCGCCUGUACACAGAAACUGUACAAAAGUUGCCGACAAAGUCAAAUACUGAUUCCAAUAUAAUGAGAUGUUCCCAAGUUCCACGAUUUAAGUACCUUCCAAUCAGGUAAAUUCCUGUUCUGCCAUUUCAACAGUUUUUCCCUGUAAGAUUUAGCAGUAUCUUUACCACUAUCUUUUCUUAGAAGUCCAGUUUACACCAGAUGGCUAUGAUUAUAGUCGAAGUAUCGAACUACAGAAAUGGACUUCUCGUAUCUAUUGGCUAUAUUGCAUUUGACUAUAGAGUUUCUGACUUUCAUCAAGAUCAGGGCCUGUUGUACAUUUCUCUAUGUUUUCUAUGUUUUUGAACUUAAAUGUAUCUACGACUGGAGCCACCCUUUGCUUCAUUCCUACCAUUAAGAGAUUUGGCUGUCAUAUGAAUGGUCAAACGACAACCAUAUAAUUGACCAUUUUUCCAUUUGAGUAAAGUUGAGGUGUUAGCCAUUAGUUAGAAUUAUUAGUCUUGAACGAGCACCAUCUUUUUUGUUUUUCUCAAGUUUUCUCUUCAUAAGCUAUAAGCAACUAUUUGUGCCUCUGAUUGGUUAAGUUUCUCGUUUCAGCGCUCCUGCCUUGUCGUCAAGAGGAACUCAUAAAUCAUCUGUACAAACUUCAUUGGACGACCCAUCAUCAAGAAGUCCUCUAAAAUCAUAUUCGAGAGGAGAACAGUCUACGAAGCCGGAAUUUGAUGAUAGUCCAAGUUUUGGAGUUGCAACACCGUUGCUGAAGUCUUUCAUGACCCAGGUACACAAAAACAAUGCAAAAUCAUAGUUUAGUAUUAGGUGCAUUUGUAUACAUCUUAGACAUUCUGUUCUUUAUAACAACUUUGAUCUGAGUCAACUUCCAGAUCUAUGAUUUCAGAGGUAUGUGUUUCUUUUCAUACAAGAAAAGUAAGCUUGUUUCAUUCUUGGGUUGACAGCCAGACUUGUAUAAAGUGCAACAGGAAACCUGCUAGAGGAAUCUAUAUAGUUGGUUAGGAUUCAUGUUAGUAGAUUCAUUUGUUACAAGAAAAGAACGGGGAGAGAAAAGAAAGUGCCUUCAGGAAGAAUGGUUUUCCAUCUUGUGUGAAUAUCCAAGUCCACAACCAAAUAUGUUGCUUUCCUUCAGCUUGAAGGAGCUAAAAGUUUAAGGUGGAUUGAAUACGAAAUAUCUGUCCUCAGAAUGAGUAUGUUCUGUUUUUCGAAGUAGUAGUUUGUAAAGCUUAGGUUUGUAAAGCUUAGGCCAAAAGCAAUGGCCCUGCUAAAGAGCUUUACUUCCCGUUGGAUCAUCUCCAUCCAGUCAUUCGGUUUAAUGUUGUUGACAAUGCUUUACGUUUUGACCUCUUGCUUUGCUUUUACCAUUUCUCAGUGCAUUCGUUUCCAACUCGUAUUUCCAAUUACCAUUAAUUACCUUGUAGUAUUCUUAACAUCCACAUGCUGUUUUUCCUUUCUUCUACGCACAAUCAGGUUGGCAGCAAAUUUGGAGAGAGUACAUCAAGGUGGGGAUCUAUGCUUUCCGACGGCCAAGUUGGCAAGUUGUCUACAUUCGGCGACAUUCUCCCCGGCCCGGCUGCUGGCCUCCUCUCAUCUCUCACAUCCGGCAGUGCCCGGUUCGACUCGUAAUUUGCUUCUGAGACACAUCCAAAGUGCGCAAACUACAUCAACUGAUCAAAGAAGCAUGGAGCUACAAAUUGCUAGUCCCUGCAGAGCUGAAAUUCACUGAAGAUGAUGACCUCAAAGAAGCUGUUUACGUAGUUUUGGGGAUUAAAGGAGUUCGACACCAAGUUUCAAAUCAUUCGUUCAAUACAUAAACUUAGAAUCGGGAGAGUGAGCAGAUCCAUUGUACAAAAAAAAGGAAAAAAAAAGAAAAAAAAUUAUAUUUCAUCCUCUUCGUGCUAUUGUAGAGAAUGGAGGAAGAAUGUACGAAUGCGAGCAUUGUCGAAGCCCUUGAGCAUUUUUUCCCACACAUGCUUUGUAAUUUAGGUUGUUUCCCACAUGUGCUGCAGGGUGGACAUUUGAUCCUGCAGUUCUCUAUGGAGGAUUUUACAUGAAUAUAAAAAGAAUGGCAUUGCUUUCUGCAAAACUGAUAUGUUCUCAGGGGCUACUAUCUGUGUAUUUAAGUGAAGAACAUUAUCUUGUUUCAUUAAUGCAGAGAAUAUGGUGGUCAUUAAGAAUUGUCUUUAAGGUGCAAGUUACAGUUUUUAUUUCCCCCUCCCUAAAGCAUGUAGGUUGCCAAUGCGCACCCACUAACGUGUCCAUCCGUCUGACGACAGUAGGGGUAUUGUGCAAGUCUUCUUUUCAUCAGUUUGGUGCUCAGGCCCAGGGUUCAGAUUUUGUAGAUAUGCUGUUGAAAAGGGCCUAACAUGAGUUAGCUUAUCGCAUAAACUUCGUGUGUCGAAAAUAUCUUGUAUUCUUUACUGCAACUUUACAGAAACAGUUUUGAAAAUAAUCACUCGAAAAGAAUCACAGAAGAAGAAUGGAUUUCUCGGCAGCAUACGGAUAGAGUGUAAGCAACUGUGUGGGCUAUUUUUACUUUAUAAAAAAAUUGAGAUAAAUUGCAAUAAGCUUCCCAUUUUGACGAGAAAAUGAGCUUUGUGAUUUACAUUUCUGUACAUGAUACUAUACAAUUAGCGCAACAUAAUGCCAAUGUGGAUGUAAGCAGUUAUUCAGGCAAUAGAGGCAGCCGGGAAACACUCGCGCCUCCGCUCUCGCUGACUAAUGAAUCGAUGUCCAUUUGCUUGCUGGAAAGAAGUCCGGCGUUUUUCUGAGACGAGCUUUUUUUUUUUAUCUUCACGGGGAGAAUCUGCAGCCGUGAGUUCAACUCAGUUCCUGAUGUCUCUGCGGCUAGCUGGUAGCUCUCCACGAGCUCCAGCUGGCGAGCAAUAAUCUCCGAGCAUCGAGGCAGCAGCUCGACAGGUUCGCCACCAGGAAUUACAAUGUAUUCAAUAGCCAGUCGAGCCUCCUGUAAGUACCAGGAAGUUCGAUGAGGUCGAAUAACAAAGAUUUGAACUAGAAUAAAUAUCAUACAACACACCAAAACACUGUUUAGCACAAUUUGACUGGAUGGAAUAGGACAAGAUGACAAUGUUAGAAGAUGAGGUUUUAGCAUCUUGAACGUAUCAGGAAUUGCAAGGGGUUGCAAUUAUCAAAUCUGUGUGGGUCAAAUAGUCCCGUUGGGAUCAAAAAAUUAAAUCCCAUCCAAGAGGUUGGGGUUUAAUAGGAUUAAAUUCAAAUUGUAUCCCACCGGACCAAACCCCAACCCGUUGCGAUCCCCAAUGCUUCCCGGUCACUUAGUUCUCCUUCUACCCCAGACAUUUCUCUCAGUUAUCCUAUCCAAUCCAAUUAGAGCUGUUGAACACGGGCCUAAAUCUUUUGCUUGUAAAAAAUGAAGGUACCUCCAACGCAUCAAUCUCCUCCAGCGAUGGUUUUCUUUUUGGUGCAUCAUCUUCGAUCUCUAUAUCUCCUCUGACAUCUGCAGGCCCAUUCUUUACAGAGCCGAAAGUCUCCAUUCCAAGAAUCAUUUUGACAGCCUUUACCAUCUGCGCCAUGGCAUUGGCCUGCGAUUUGAUACACAUAAAGGACAAUAAAAAGAUGAGCCAUACAUCAGAACAGUACAGAAUUGAUUGACGAUUAGAGAAAGAUGGCAGAAAUUGAUCAAUUAUACCUUAAUGACAAACACGGGAAGUUGGUGAUACUUAGCUACACUACGAAUCCAAGGAUUCUUCUUCAGUUCAGCGCUUGAAGCAAGAAUCACGUCUGCAGUUCCAAUGUCAUCGAUUACAUCCAACUCAUCCUCAAAACCCAUAACAUUUGCCACUUGCAGCAGAUCAGCUUCCAAUAUCUGGCAGCAAAAAAACCAAAUAAGAGACCGUCUUGGGAGUUUCUGGUAGGUGAUUCAUAUAAUUACAACUAAGAUAGUAUCAGUUUGAUUAAAGAGUAAAUUAAAAGAAGGGAAAAAAAAAAGACACAAGGUCAGUCUUUAAGACUUCAAUAAAUCCUGUCCAGAUACCACUUUAUGAGUAAGUUUAUAAGUAAGCACCUUUCUCAUUUUUCUUGAUUCGUUACAAUUUGAAAACAAAAGGAAAAUGUAUGUUGAGGGGCACCUCUUUCAGCUAGAGUAGAUGAUGUUGGAAUUAUUAUGAUCCUGCUCUAAUUAUUACGCCAAUAUUUACCUUAUAAGUAUACACACGUACUGGCGAUCUCCUCGACAACUUCGUCGUGCUUGUUCCCUUUCUGCUAAACUCAAAACUCAUAUCAGAAUCAUCUUCAGCAGGCAUACUUUUGCCCCUCACACUUUCCUUAUAAGAAGUUGAUGCCUCCUCUUCGUAAUGUUUCUCAGAUAAUGGCAUAGGGCUCCCUAAAUUGUUCAUUUUGCCGUCUACCUUCCGUACUUCAAACAUAGGAGACUUCCCUUUUUAACCCAAAAAACGCAAAAAAAAAAAAACAAAAAAAACAAGGUAUCAGUAAAAAGAAAUAAAUAUUUCAGUGUACUAUUCUCAUGCUUUAUGGACCAGAUCACAAGAAAUUGGUAGAAAAGAUAUUAGUUCAACAUGCAUAAUAGUCAAUACCUGCAAGAAUAGCAUCUACAGUGGCUUCUAAUUUGUGAUGCACUCGACACUCAGUCUUCGAUAUCAUCUCAACAGCACAAGUGAAUGUUGGAGGUCCUUGCCUCUCAAGAAUUGUUUUCUGAACCUUCCUUUUCCUCGCCUCUUCGUCACCUAGUGUGACACUCUGCAUGAGAAAAUAGCUUAGAUGACUAUGUUUCACCCACUCAAGUGCCUCUUCUUUUUCCUAGAUUUUGUUUAGCAUGAAUUGCUAAUUGGUACUUGCAAUGAAACUGUUUGCUUCAGCUUCUUCAAGUGCCCAAUCUAUAGCUCCAACAAGAGCCAGGCUUUACAAAUGCAUGAUUUUAAAACUAAAUCACAAGUUGGAUACCUCUAUCCCACCAACAAGUAUCUGCAAGCAAGGAUUUUUAAUGAUGCUAUCAAUUGUCACUCCGUGUGCUGUCCCAACAAGCUGAACACCUCUUUGAGCAAUAGUGCUGGCCGCCAUAGCUUCAAGUUCUGUGCCAAUUUCAUCUAUAAUGAUGACUUCUGGCAUGUGAUUUUCCACUGCUUCUAUCAUGACCUACAGAAGCACCACAAAUAUUUCACAUGCUCUUUUAUACUACUAAGUUUUCUACUACGCUUCUAUUUUGCAGUUUUCAAGUGCUGUGAAACUUUUAAGAGCCGCAAAUAGGGCACAUUGCGAAGGACUCACAUUGUGCUGCAUGCUAACAUUUGGAACUUGCAUUCUCCUUGCACGUCCAAUACCGGAGUGAGGUACAUCCCCAUCACCUCCUAUCUCAUUUGACGUGUCAACUAUGACAACACGCUUCAUGCAUUUAUCUGCUAAAAUCCUAGCUGUUUCCCUGCAUCAAGAGAACCAUCUAGAGAUGUUAAAACCGUCGAGAGGUCUAUGCACCAUAUUUCUCCUCCAAUAACUCCAUGAUCUCACAUUAUUUGCAUUAUAAAAAAGAAUCCUUACCAAUCAAAAUUUUAAAUCUUUAAUCAGGGAAUGAGAUUAAAUAGGCGUAGUAUUGAGGUGAAGCAAAAUGAGGAGUCAAAGCAUGUACCAUCAAAAUGUGUUGAUUUACAAAAGAAAGAUGGAUCACUAAUAUAUAAGAAACCUAAAUCUGAAUUAAUCUAAAAGUUAUGAAGAGCUAUAAAAGCUUGGCCUAGUUGGAAACUCAUGCAUAGCACAACACCAAUCUCGCUUAAAAUGACGAUUGAGAGACUCGAGUAAUUAAAGAUUAAUCUCGCACGGCCAACACUACUUGCACUUUACUUCCACAAUGAGAUCUAUUAAUAGAUAAUGCACCUUAUCAAGGUUGUCUUGCCAACUCCGGGAGGUCCAAUUACCAACAUGGAACCCCCACUCUCAACCAGAUCACGUAUCAUCUCAGCACUUCCUGAUAUAGCUCGACCAACUCGGCAAGUGAGACCGAUUAUUUGCAUCUUACGGUUCCGAAUCGCACUGAUCCGAUGUAGUGAAUGAUUAAUCCCAGAUCGAUUGUCCUCGGAGAAAUCACCAACCUACAAAAAAAGUUCCGAUAUAAGAAACAAAAAGAGUAAGAUGGAAAACCUCAAAAAGAUCCUACCAAUGCUAUAUAGGUGAUGCAACUUACUAUCUUGUUGUGCAAAAUGAAGGAUUACUUUUUCGUACGAACUUGCCGUUAAAAAACCUGUUAAAUGUGAGAAGGUGACAAUCACGUGCCUCGCUACAACGUUGUAAACGUGGGCAUAAUGUAUACUCCAAUUUGCACUUUACCAUUCUAUGGUUCAUAAAUUGUAGUACUUUGCAACCUUUUUAGGUACAAUCAAGCAAUAACACAGUGAUUGUUUACAAGUUUUCUUGGGAUUAAUCUAUCAAGUGAGCGCUAUCUAUGCCAAUAACAAUACAAUUGCAUAUCCAUUGGCGAUAUAGAACAAACGAAUCAAGUAAUCCACCUUCGAGAUCGCGUGGCGGAGGUCGUCGAUCGCCACGGGCCGAUCCGACAUGAACCAAUCCCCCGACGGGAACCGCGCGAUCGGCCGCCGCCCGAGAUCCAUCACCACCUCGAUGAGCUCCCGGACCUCGCCGUGCCGCGCCAGCUCCCGCCGCAUCCGCGGCGGCACCAGCUCCAGGAACAGCUCCAGCUCGUCGUGCACCUGCACCGCCGCCGCCGCCGCCCCCCCGCCGCCGCCGCCGCCGCUGCAGCCAUCGGUCCUCGUCCUCGGCGCGCCCGCGGGGCUCCACGGCGCGCACCGAUCCGCGCUGGGGCGGCGGAUCGAGGGCGGGGCCACAGCCUUGCGCGAGCCCGGGACGCGGCGGGACGAGGAGGAGACGACGAGGCCGGAGAUCGGGCUCUGGAACGAGGCCGGGUUCAGGGCCUUCAACAUGGUCGGGGAUCGGAGAAUUGUGGGGGAGGAGGAGAUGGGAGAAGUGGGGGAGUAUAUAAUGAGGUGGGCUCGGUGAGAUAUUUCGUCGAACAGGUAGAGGGGAAGGUCGAAGAGGAGGAGAGACACAAGAGCGGGGAAUAAAACGGAAUAAGUGGACGGAAGAUUCCGAGGGAUCUAUAUCGUUUCAGGGUCUCCUGCACCCGGUGCAUCCGUACACCACUCUUAUCAUAGACAUUCAAAACAUAACUCAAAAAUUCUAAAAUAUGACAAAUCAAAUUUAUUUCUAAUUUCGCUAGUUUCAUCAUAAUUCUUUUUUCAAAAAAUUUAUUAUACAAAAAUUAUCUCCUACAAUAUGGACCUAAAAAAUUAUAUUUUAAUUUAUUAGUCUGUUUUUUUUAGUGUUCAAAUAAAUAAAUACACGCGUAUAUAUCCAAAUUAAUAAAUUAAGGAUAGUUUUUUCUUUCUUAUUAACGAAAUAACGUUCCAAAUAAUAUUGCUGAUUUUAAAAGUUCAACUUUUAAAAAUCGCACAUCAGAUUUAUCGUAUCAAAAUUUAGUUUUUACAAUACGAGUAAUAAAAUUUAUAAUUUUUAUUUUGAUAGAAACAGAAAAAUCUGUUCUGCUCAUUAGGUCCACUAUUAAUCGCAAAAUAGUUUGGCGUGCAUUAAUACGAGUUCUACCAAUAUUACCACCCUUAAAAUAGUGAUGAUGAUAAAAUAUGGGUUAAUUUCAUACAUGUCCCUAUAAACAUAGUGAAUGAUAAAUAUGUUCCAACAAUGCUAAACUUUCAUAUGCUGUCCCUAUAAAAAAUCCGAUGUUUUCAAAUAUAUUCAUGCCAUUAGGAUCCAUUAGAAAAAUUUAGUUAACCAUAAAUUAAAUACUUAACUUUGGUUAGUUUUUAACGUUUUUAUUCUUUUAUAUUAUACUGUUAUGAUUUUUGGAAGGAUAUAUUUGUGAUGGCAAAAUCGAAAAUAUAAAUGGUUCUCUAAUGGUAAAAAAAAAUCAGAAGGACAUAUUUAAAACAAUUACGACUUUUGCAGCGACAACAUAUGAAAGUUGAACUUUGUAAGAAUAUAUUUGCUAUUUACUUGUUUGUAUAGAUCUGUAUAAAAUUAACCCAAAAAAAUUUUUAAGUUGGUGUAGGCAGAUGCAAGGAUGCACCGGGUGCAGGCAAAUAAUGUCUCAAGAGGAGAAGGGUGCGGGUAUUGGGUGGAUUCGAAAGGUGGGCACGCAACGGACUCUUCUCGGCCGUUGAAGGGAACGGGCGCUCGCACGCGGUCCACACAUUCCGAGGACGGACGAAGUGUUUUUGGUCUCCUGUUGCUUCUAUUUUCUAUUUUUUCAUAUAUUUUUUUUCGCCUUUUAUUUUUAUUUCUUGUUUUUUUUUUUUAAAUGUUAAUCUCGGCGGGUCCCUUACAAAUAUAGUGAAUAACAAAUAUAUCCCUAUAAAUUUUAACUUUCAUAUAUUGUCCUUUAAAAAAUUCUAGUAUUUCUAAAUAUGUUUCUAUGGUUUGUUACGAUUAUUUUUAAUUUUGUAAUAAUAUAAGUGGGGUAAAAAAAUUAAAAACUAAUCAGGGUUAAAUAUUUAACAUAUGAUUUACUAAAUUUUUCUAAUAGAUUCUAGCAUAAGAGAUAUAUAUUUAAAAAAAUAUCAGGACUACUGUAGAAAUAAUAUAUAAAAAUUUAAUUUUAUAAAGAUAUAUUUAUCAUGGUACACGUGUAUAAAAUUAACCCAAAAAAUUGGAAUAGUGAAGAAAAAAGAGUUGGAAGGUGAGGGAUUGAUGAUUGGUCCAUCCAGGGGGGACUUGGCAUGGCAGAACACUUGUCACUUGCUGGAUGGAGAGAUGCAAUUUUAUAAGAUUUCUCCCCGUGGUCUUAUUCGGAGGCGCCGAUUUCUCACAAAUUUCUCGUGAAUUUCGUGCAAUUUCAUAUGUCAAAAAUUCUACAUUAAGUUGAUCCGUUUUUUAUUACUCACAGGAAAAAUAAGAUUGCCUCAUUAGAUAGCGAAAAUUCAUUCUACACUAAUGAUCAGCAAAAUUAAUCUUGUGCGUAGAAAUAUUUUAUACAUGAUCAUUAGAGAGCGAAAACUUAUUCUACCAUUAAUCAUCAGCAGCACAAUCAAUUCUAUGUGUAUAAAUUUUUUAUGUACAGAAUUAUCAGAAAUGCAUUCAUUUUUGUUCCAUCUUUGAAGACUUGAAAUUUUAGAAUAAUUUUAUGUAAAAUAGAUGAGCCUGAAAGACCUCAGCUUAUAAAGAAAACAAAACAAAGAAAAUAAUGUCAAAUUUUUGUGAACUUUGAUAUGGUUACAAACAUCCAAAUUCUUUUUCGUAAAACCUUAAAAUUCUAACUUUGAAAAAUUAUUACCCACAGUUGGUGCAUUUAGACAUCUAUACACUGCAAAUUAACUUUUCAUCAAGAAAUUAAAAUAUAUAACAAUCAUAAGGAAAUAUUAUAACAUGCCUGCAGGUAGGACGGAUGACUGAGAACUUAUUUGGCCUGACUUACUGUAGUGAGACUUUUACCUUAUUUAGAAAAGUUUUAUAUACAAUUAUACUCUUUUCUGUGAUUAUAUAUUGUUAGAUGUGACUCGAAGUUGAUAAUCGACUCAUGUUCGGGUUUUCGACUCGCCGAUAGUUUCGCGGUGCUAUCAAAAUUGGAAAAAUAAAAUUGUCAAGGAAAAAUGAAUGUAUGUGGUGGGUAGCGGAGGGCUCGGGCGUUAUGAGUUUUCUUUUCGUUUUUGCCCUAGAGGCGUGAGAUCGUGGUUGGUUGUAAUCAUCUGAACAUUGUAUUCCUUUUUCGGUCGAUAGUGAAGUUUUUUCUUUCCUCGCCCGUGAUUUUUUUCUGCAAAAAAAUUUUCACGUAAAUCUGUAUGUUCUUUUUAUUUUUCGCUUGUAAUUUGAUUGUUUUAUAUUUGUCAUUUUAUUUCCGUUUAUGCGUUUGUCGUAAUAUAUAUCAUACUACAUAACAAAAGCAAGCUAUUUUAAUUAGGCUUGCUUAUGUAGUUCGGCCUUGUGACGUAAAUUCGAAGUGGAGCCAAACAAUCCCUAAUAGAUACGCAAGUACACUGUGUGCAAGCAAUACUUUCUUAUGUCACUAAAAGGUGUUACGGUGUUGAUAAAGGAUAGGAAUAUUGUUAUAAUGUUAGCUGUAACCAUUUUUUUUUUUUUAAAGCAAAGACCUAUUUUGAAGUAGGCUUUAUUAUAGCGAAACAAUCUUGCUCGCUACCGUAUAAGUGUUACUUCAUAAUAUAUUUGACCAAGAUUUUAAGUACCUAUCGGCAUGGACCGUAUCCACCGUGUCGUACCGUAUCAAUAAAAUACCGACAUCGAUAUAAACUCCGUACAAAUAGCACAGCUCAAAACUCUCUAUUCUUCAAAUUAAUAAUCUCAAUAAAAUUCAAAAAAUAUGAUAAAAAGAUAUAAUAAAUAGUUAGAAUAUUUUGGUGUUAAAUAAAAUAAAUAUUUCAUACUAUUAUGUGUCAGUAUACAAGAAUUUUUUGACCGGAAAACAUCGGCAUGGCUCUGCACGCACCGUGUCGUACCGUACUGGUAAAUUUUCGGUACGAUCCCGUACCACGGCACUUAAUUAAAUCCUUAUAUUGGACACAUUUUUUAAUUUUCUCUCAAAUAUAAUUUUCUAGGUACGUAGGCAAAUAGGGAAAUGCUUUGGGUGCCCCCACAAGACCUUUCUUAUCAUUUUAUAUUUUUUAGCCAGUAUUUCUAUAUUAGCAAACAAACUAUGAUAUACUUCAUGUUACGUAAAAAUAGAAGAACAAAAGUCUUCUUAAAUUAUUUCGAGCAGAAGUUACCAUAUUAUACUUGAUUACGUAUUUAUCAGCUUACUAGGCUUAACAAGAUCACUCGUAUAGAUGAAAUAUCUUCUAUGCAUGUAGAAUACAGUUUUCUCACGUAAAGAUUCUUUUAUGAAAUACUAGUGUAUUGAUAAAUUCUGCGAAGUUUAUGCCAUGUGCAUAAAUUAAACAAAUAUCUUCAUUUUGUGCAUGUCAGUAUAAUAAUUAAUAGUUUAUAAAGGCAACGUUUUAAAGUUUUACAGUAGUACUUCUGUCGUUAUAAGUAGGAAUAAUUUCAUACAGUUCUCUAUAGACAUAUCGAAUAAUAGAUAUAUUCCAACAAAGUUUAAGUUUUCAGAUUCAAUAAUAUUUAUAUUUGUCUCCCUGUUUUGUUACUGUUAGCUCAUUAUUUAUUUUUUUAAUUAGCAGAAGAUAAAUAAAAUAUCAAUUUUGUCAUUAUAAAUAUAUCUCUCGAAAAAUACUAACUUUUAGAAUCAUACAGAAAAUAUCUUCUAAAAAAUCCCCAAUUGCCAUUUUCUUCCUCCAUAAAAACUAACUCAAUCUAUUAUUGUUACAACAUCUUCAUUAUCUCUUCUCUCCCUCAUUUUCUCCUUUACCUAUCUAUUACUGAUUCUCUGGCGCUCGACAUGGGGAAACAAUACGAGUCGUGGAUGAAUGGGGACCAGGAAACCCUAGUUAUAGGUUCGAAAAUAGCAAGAAUGAGAGAGAGGAAGAGGAAGAUGAAGAGGAAGAAGAGUUUCCAUUGUUAGGUUUUGCUAGAACUAGGGUUUUGAUUGAGAUAAAAAAAAGUAUAAUACCAGAGAGAUAAAAAAGUCAAUUUACCUCACUAACCAAGAUUAAGUAUUUUAUCUAUCAUUAACUAUAUUUCUAAUAAACACUAACAACAAGGGUAUAUUUAAAACCAUUAUGACUUUUGAGCGAUAAAUAUGAAAACUUAAACUUUGUAAGAGCUUAUCUGCUAUAUGAUAUGUUUAUAGGGAGCUGUAUAAAAUUAUCACUCAUAAGUAUUCUUAGAGAUCCCCUACAGUAUUUUUUUUUUAAUUAUUAAUAAAUUAACACUUAAAAAGUAUAAAAGAGUUUUAUUAGCUCACACAGAGGCUCCAAAAAUAUUAACUAAGAGCAAUAAAUUUGACAAUCAAUAAAUAACAGCCCAUAACUAAGAGCAAUGUUUUGGCAAAUCCAAAGCUUUUUUAUACUUUUUAAGUGUUAAUGUCCCCACAAACAAGUGCCAACUCUUUGCCAAUCAUCACCAAAUUGCGGCCCCGCGUUGACCAUUUGAAAGUCAACACCAAGAACAACCGGAGCCGCAAAACAGCAUCUAGGCAGGGAUUAUUCCUCGCCCGCUCGUCUCUUCCUUUUCGCACUCUUGGGUUUCAUCGUCUUUUAUUGUUAAUAAAAACUCUAUAAUCCAAUCUUUUUCCUAUAAAUUAAGAUCGAGGAGAUAACAAGAAAAGGAAAAAAAAAAAAAUAAAGGAAAAAAGAAAAAGAAAAAUGAGAGGGGAAUUAGGGGCGACGAGGGGAGAGGAGGAGGAGGAGUGGGAGCUGCUCCUCCCGUCGGAGCCGCGGGAGCGCGCCACGUGUGCGGCGUGGAUUCGCCGGCGGGACAGCCGCGUCCUCGUGGUGAUGGGCAGGGCCUCUUCUUCUUCUUCUUCUUCUUCCCCUCCCUCGCUCGACAUCUUCUCCUUCGACCCCAAAACCACCUCCCUUUCCCCCGAACCCUUGGUAGUUUUUUCUUUUCUUUUUUUUUCUUUCUUUUUUUUUUUUUUCCUUUUGUGUGUGUGUGUGAUGGGUGGUGGUUAUUCUAGGGUUUCGAUUGAGUGAAUUGUAAUUGUGUGGGAAAUUGGUUGCUUUUGGAUGGUGUGUAGGUGAGGUUUCCGAUUCCGGGAGAGGGCGCCGAUCCCCUGCAGUUCGCGGUGCACCCGAGCGGCGACGAGUUCGUCUGCGCCACCAAGAACGGUUGCAAGUGAGUUUUUGCUGCCAAUUACUCUAAAAAUUUAAGCCGAUAGAGAACGGUGUUUUAGCAUUGUUAUAUUUUGAUAGGCUUUAUAAGAUGUGAGAGUCGGAGCUUGGUAGGAUUAGAGUUUAGGAUUUACUGCUUGCUCUGAUACCAUGUGAAACAGCCUUUAAAAGCUUAAGCUGUCAGAGAACGCUGUUUGGAUAUUCUAUAUUUAGUAGUCAUUUCAUGGUUGUAGUUUUUGGGCCCAAGAUCAUAAAAUUGUGAAUCAGCGAUUCCACGGAGAAGCAUGGAGAAUUCUUUCACAGCGACUAUUUGGCCUUGCUGUAGGGUGAAAUAUUAUUUUUGGGGAGGAAUUUGAACAAGCCAGGUGUUUUGGUUUGCUAAUUGGGGCAACGGUGGCAGAAAGCACCAAAUGGCCCUAUGUUGGAGUUUUCACUAUUGCUUCUCUUUGCAUGAGAAUCAGAAGCUCCAAUUUUCGCUGCUAAUCGUAUUUUAGCUUCUUCGCUGCAGCAAAAGCAUUGGACUUUUCCCUCGGCCAAACACCCUAUUUGAGAUGACUAUAGCUGAAAGUAGAAGUAGAAGCGGUGUGAAAUAGGUACUAAGUGAGCUGAUAAUGAAACGAGUCUUUAGUCAUCAAUUUGAAUGGUGUAGCAAUUUUACUCACUAUAAUUUGAUUUUUUUAAGUCGAUCAAGAAUCUAGUGUUUAGGAAGUCUUAAGAGUUAGAAGGAAAAUGUUACUUAUGUUUUAUGUUCUUACAAUUUGAUCUUGAUUUCAUAUUAGAUCGUGAGACUUUUAAGUGUUUUAAAUCAUAAAAUGAUAUACUGAAAAAGAAAUAGUUCAAGAUGCCUAAUGCUCUAAUGCGUCCUCGGUUUUUCCUUCUAUUCAUAGAACUUUAUCCUUGAACUUCCUCUUCACUGUUGCAUCACUUUGGGCGGAUAUUAGGAUUUGCAAUGAAAUGGUUGAGAGAGUGCGAUAAACGCCUACAGAUUUGACGGCAUGCAAUAGUGCUAUCCAUGUUCUGGUUUCUGAUAAGUUUUUCUAACUUCCAUUAUGCUCAUCAUAUUAGACUGUGUGAAUAUUCUCUAUGUUAGCAUCGUCGGUCAUGACCGCUUGCUCCAUUGGCUUAAAAUCAGUCUAAAUUUUAUCAUUUCUAGCGAGAAUUGAGAUUUAAGUGGAGCAUCUUUUCAGGCGUCUUUUUCUUGGUUGUAUUGGGUAUUUGGGUUAUACAUUUAUGCCUACUUAUGUAUGAAAAAAAUCACAUUGUGUUCUUUGUGGUAUGAAGAUUACGCCUUUCCAUCACAAAUAAUGGCGUUAACCAAGACAUUUAAAACCAUGAGUAAUGUGGUACUGAUCAAACUUUGGGAACAUAUAAUAUAAUUUGCUUUUGAUCAUUGUCCGUGUAAUAAUAUGAAUCUUUUGUUUGGAUGGAUUUGAUUGAUAUAUUUUAUAAACUAUAAAUUCUUGUUGAAAACUGUAACUACGUAGUUAUCUUGUGAACAACUAUAGUUUACUUUGCAUUAUCUAAAUAUUAUUUUAUCAAUGUUAGCAUGAUUUCACAAACUAAGCCACCUCUUUGAUGUGCAGAUUAUUUAAAUUGGUUUAUCAGGAAUUUGGCGUACGUAUCCUUUCUAGGGAAACUCCACCUCUUGAAUCUGUGGGUCUCCAGAAGUGCCUGGCUUUUAGCACAGAUGGUACUAAAUUUGCCAUGGGGGGUGAGGUAUGCGAUCAUGGACUUUUUUUGACUUUACAUGAUAGCAAAAAUGUAGAGAAAGUAGUAGUAUAUUGAGAACUAUAAAGAAUCACACAAGUGUUAACUUUUCACUAGUUCUAUAUCGUUAGUGUUGUAAUUGCUUAUGCAGAGACACUAAGGUGUCUGACCAGUAUAGGUGGAGCGGCAUCAUAACAGUUAAUUGACAACGAUAUUCUCUUCUUCUUUUUUUUAGCCAAGGUUGUCUAUUUCUUAAACAACGCGGUGUUGUAGCAAUUCUUUCUGUUUUGUUGUUUUUUGUGACGACUACUUUUUUCUCGUUUCUGCAAGUCAACGUUUCUCUGCAAUUGAUUACUUUACUUGGUUCAGUUUGGAGAUUUAAAAUGUUUAACGCAGAUGAUUCAAAAUUUCCUCCUGCUAACUUUGAGUUAUUUCUAAAUUGAGUAUUUUAUCGGUCUAGUGGCAUUAUUCCUACAACCCCUCUUUUCGUCCAGAAAAUUCUUUAGGUGGAUUUUGGAGGACAACCUUCCAUCUUCUAUUUUCUAUUUCAUGACCUUGUUGCUUGUUUAUUGUGAAUUGCAUCAUAUAAAUUAGAAGGCUUUUCCUCUUCAAUUAGAUAGUUCUUUAUAAUCUAUUACUUUACAACCAGCAAAGGGAAUAGCAUAUCACAUUCUUGUUGCCGUGUAUCAGAUACAAAAUUACUGGGAGAGUAAUGUAAUCAGGAGCAUUGUAGUUUCUCUUAUUUUCUUUAUUUUUGUAUUUGUAAUCAAUCAUAGCAACAAAAAAGUCCUGAAUAUUAUUAGCUAAUACUUCAUAUCAUGUGCUUGAUAGUAGUUCUAUUUUGAUGUUUCCAUAGGACGGGCAUCUCAGAAUAUUACACUGGCCAAGCAUGAAUGUUUGUUUGGAUGAACCUAGAGCUCAUAAAUCAUUUCGGGAUAUGGAUAUCAGGUUAGAGAAUAUUCUCUCCUUUCUUUCGGAAGUUGGCAUUUCAAUAUGAUACUUAAUGGUUGCAUAUGGAACUUCUUUAUUCAUCCUUUGGCUACAGCUGUUACUGUCUAAAUAUUCGUAUCGUAUACAAAUCAUUUGUCAUACGAUUCUGUAAUUGUUAGUUAUUGUUUCUAAAGAACAAUGGAAAAUCAUUGGUCCUACAUAUGUCAAAUAGUAGUAAUAUCUUUUAUGAUUAAUGUGUAUAGCUCUAAUUCCUUAGAAAUGAACAGCGACCUAUUAUGUAUAGUAUAACACUAACAUACUUGAGAUUACUUUAAUAAAUUUCGUGAUUGGUGUACAAGAUUACUUCCUGUAGAUUGGGUAGAUUCCUGGAAACAAAGCUUGAAUGUUAUAUUCUGAUAGUAAGUCACACUCAUUAUUUUAGUUUUGGAAUGCAACAGUUUUUACUUCCAUUUUGCAGCUUAGACUCAGAGUUUUUGGUGUCGACAUCCACUGAUGGUUCUGCAAGAAUAUGGAAGAUAAAUGAUGGUGCCCCACUGACUAAUUUGACUCGAAAUUCGGUAUAGCGUUAAUGUUAUCUUUUGGACACAUUAUUUUCCGAUGUGCAUAUAAAAUGCUGAUAUUCUUCUGGCCUUAUUUAUUCUGUUGUUUCUUCUCUAUAGAAUGAGAAGAUUGAAUGUUGUCGGUUUUCUCGGGAUGGAACUAAACCUUUCCUGUUUUGCACUAUUGAGAAAAGUAAGAUUGCUAAUGAAUUUGAAAAACCAUUAUUUUUGUUGUUGUUAUAUUAAAUAAAUUUUGUUUUUCCUGUACCCAAAACAGAUGGUAAAGUCGUAACUGCUGUUUGGGAUAUCAGUACGUGGAAUAGAAUUGGAUACAAAAGACUACUUGGAAAGCCUGUUUCUGUUCUAUCGAUUAGCUUAGAUGGAAAGUACCUAGCAUUGUAAGUAUAUGAACUUGCUAACUAUUUAUCUCACAUGUACAUGUUGGGAUUAUAUGAAACUUAUGCAUGAAUUUUGUGAGAUAACUGGUAUUCAAAUAACUGAAACUCUCAUUAUAAUAUUUCUCUCCAUGCCGUCAUAUUAUCUCUAAUUUCUUAUAGCGGUUUUGGCAUAAAUAUAUAUCCCUUAAAAAUAUCCACACUUGCCAUUAAACAAUUUUUAAGGAAGGUUAAUCUUCUAGCCUCUGCAUUAUGAAUAUCUUUCGAGAUUGCCUGUCUUAUUGGAUGAGAAUCAAAUGUUGUUGCUAUGGAGGAAGUUCAUGAUUUUUUUGUCUUACUCAUCACUCUAAACUGUUAUGUCUGGCUAGUUGUAAGCAUAUGAAAACCAUGAGUAGGCGUCUUAGAUGUAUAUUUAUUGUAGUUGUCUCCCGAUGUUUCUUGCAAGUUGCAACCACCCUUCUGUUAUUUCCUUUUCCAUGUACCUUAUAAUUGUUUCCGCAUUAUGUGAAAUGUAAUUAUGUUCUGAUCUGUCCACCUUUUCUUACAUUCGUGUUGCAUGUUUUUACUUCUCGAUCAUUUUCAUUGCUUAAUGAUGAAAUUAGCAUGUAGAUAUCUUUAUCUUUCUCAGGCCAACAUUGAUCAACCUUUUUUCGCCGUAAAUGUAAUGUUUCUCAUCUUUCUUUGGAACAUCAUGAUCCUGGUCACUGGUGCAAACGGAAAAAAAUUGAUUCCUUGCUAGAGUAUAUUAAUUUUAUGCUCUAAUAAUUACUUAAACACUAUAAUUUAAUUGAAUUUUGGAAUUCGUAUUUAUUUUGCUAUAUACCUCAAUUUAAUUGACAUGGAUGUAUUAGCAAAUUAACCGAGUUAAUUUAUUCAGAGGGAGCAACGAUGGUGACUUUUGUGUAGCUGAAGUAAAGAAGAUGGAGAUAUCCCACUGGAGCAAGAAGAUUCAUCUUGGCACACGAAUUUCUUCUAUCGAGUUUUGUCCUACAGAAAGGUAAUAACAUCAAUUUACCUCAAACUUUGGAUAAUGCUUCAGAUUAUUUAAUUUUUUUAAUUUUUUUGAGAGAUUUUUUUUUUUAUUGUAUGUUAAAACUUUAUAAUAAGCUAAUUUUGCAUCAGAUCCCCUAUUGCUUUUGAAUUUUUUGAGUAUUCAGUGGCAGUAAUCGCUGUGUAACCAUUUCCAAUAAAGGACUUCAUUUAAGAUGACUCGACAAUUAAGAUUUACUUAAUGAAUACAAAUUUACUCUGAAACAUAUUCUUGACAACAUCUAGCAGAGAAACAAAAUGUGAUUAGCAAAAAACAUAGUUCCUCAGUGUUGCAAAUGACUUUUUCAUGUGUACUGUGGUUUAUGUUGACACCAUUUUGUGUUCUGUUCAAGUCAUUUGCUUUGUAACCACUCUGAUGUUUAGCCAUGUAAAUGCCUUCUUUCGAGAAGCCACCGCCAAAAUUUAUUCUGCCUUCUAGCAUCUCAAAAUAAUCUUAAGUGCUGUAACCUGUUUGAUCAAAGAAACUGCUCCAUCCUGCAAUUAUAUGCAUAUAUGCACCGUGCUUUUUACUUCCAUCCGAGGAUUGUUGUGCUACUCAGCAUGGUCUGGCGCGGCACGUGCCAUCCAUUCCUCUCUUACUGACAUACAAAAUUUGCAGUGCCUAGUCGUGCCGGCAGACUGUGCAAUGCCAAUGACGCACAGACAUGCCCUAUGCUAGUGGCACGAUAUUCCUUACUUACAAUCCACCCACUAUGCAUCAAUUGCAUCAUUUGCUUAAAUACUCUCUUCCUACACUGCAGAGUUGUGAUUUCCACUUCGUCGCAAUGGGGACCCAUGGUCACAAAACUCAACGUACCUGGCGAUUGGAAGGGUAAGAAACGUGAACAAUCACUAGGUUUCCUUCAAACUAAAUUCCCUUAAUUUGCACUUAUUCUUUCCCUUUUCUUUUCACCGUAGAGUGGCAAAUCUACCUAGUACUCCUGUCGCUAUUUCUGGCCUCGGCUAUUCUAUGCUAUAUAUUCUACGAGAACUCCGAUUCAUUCUGGAACUUCCCGCUCGGAAGGCACCAACCUGCAAAACCUUGGAACACCUUCAAGCCGAUCGAUCCUUCGCAGAUUCCAGAUGAUCAGGAUUGGUGACUAUCUAGAAUUACUUAACUUAUCCUUCCACUCGGACAAUACUUUUCUUCUUUUGGUUUCUUGAACUCGACUACGGGCUACGCAACGAUAAUGCUUCCACCAUGGGAUUUUUUUAUUUUUUUUGGACUUGUUGAAUUUACACUGAUCUUAUCGCGUCUUUUUGGUGCUUCUUAUGUCGAUAAUCCGAUGAUAAAAGGCGGGUUUAUUUGUGGUAACACUGGUAAUGUAUUAUUAAAUAGAUUUAAAGGAUGGUUGUGUCUCCUAAUGAUUUCUAGCUCUGUAUUUCUUUUUAAAAUAAUUCGAAUAAGAAUAAUUUGGAUUGAUCAGAAAUUGAUAAUUGGAAGCUGUGAUGGUUGGUGAAGGAAAAAUAAAAUGUGUAGCAAAUCCUUAUACUUUGGUGAUAUGGUACUUGGAAUUUUAAAGAUAAAGAUUGUAUAGAGAACCCCCUCAACUAUAGGCUAUUUUGAAAUGGAUCCCUCAACUUUGUUUUUUUAACCUACUGACACCCUUUGAACUCACAAAUAUUUGAGAUUGAGUAAUUUUAGUUAAUUUGGUUAGAAGUUUUAUGAAAUCUAGUGAUUUUAAUUGCUUUUUUAAGAAAUGAAACGGAACUAAUGACAGCUAAAUGCUAAUACAGCCAAGUAACAGAAUUUUUUGGCUUAGCUAACUAAGAUAGCUUAAAUAAAAAAAAAAAGCUAAAAACAUACAGUAUUUACCUGAACUAUCAACCAUUAUAAAUCAACUAUCUUACCUUUCAUAAUUUUGAUUUUACUAUUCAAUUUUUUAAUUUAUUUGAUUUGAAUCAACGAUACUUUGACUUUAAAUUUUAAAUGCGUUGUUUAUUUUUACAGAUUCAGUUUGUAUACUUUAUGCAAUUCUCAUGGCUAUAAUUUUAUCAAAGUAAAAAGUAAGUUAAAUUUUAAAGUAAAAGUGCCGUUAACUGCCCAAAUAAAAUAAAUUGAAAAGUUGGAUAGUGAAAUCAAAGUUUUGAAUGGUCCGGUAGUCAACUCAAAAUGGUCGAUACUUCAAGUUAACUUUGUGUUUUUAUCUUUUUUUUUAAAAAAAAAGAAAGUUGUCUGUAGGAUUUCAAAGUUGCAAUGUGGUAUAUUAAAUCAAAUUUUACCCAAAAUUGAAAUUGAAACAAGAGAUUGAACCAGAAUCAGAGAGAGAGAGAGAGAGAGAGAGAGAGAGAGAGAGAGAGAGAUUGUUUUUCUAUUGUCUUACCUUUCUAUUGUUCACUUAUUAACCAUUUUUUAAAUCAUUAUGAAGACCAUUUAAAGAUCUUUAACAUUUUAAGCUUGCUUGGUUGCAUAAACAUUUGGUGCAAUGCAUUGUUCUGACCGACUGUUAGGAUUUUCUAAAAACCUGUUUGUUUAUGCUGACCGGCUGUUCGGAUUUUUUACGAGUCUAUUUGUUUUGACCGACUGUUAGGAUUUUCUAAGAGCCUAUUUGUUUAUGUUGAAAAUAAUUUUCAGUUAAAAUAAAGUUUUUCUGGAACUAUUCUAGUUUAGGUUAGCUCAACCUUUUGUGCCAUAUCUGAAACUAUUCUCAAUAUAAUCCAUCCCUUUUUAUGCCAUUUCUGUUUUUUUUUAAUUAUUAUUUUUGUACACUUGUGUGCAGAUUUAUACACACAUAUACCACUUAUAACAGGACUCAAAACUCAAAACCUAAUACUUACAGGAUAAAAUGUAGCUACCAAUCAGACUCCAUAUUGGUGGUCUCUUUUUUUUUCUUUUUUUUUCUUUUUUUUGUCUUCCCACAUGGAGAGUCUAAUUUGCUUGUCUUCAGGAAAAAAGGAGAUAGAUAGUUGCAUGUCAAUUUCUUCUUAUUGGAGAGGUAUCAUUGAAGAGAGAGAGAGAGAGAGAGAGAGAGAGAGAGAGAGCAACCUUAUCAUGGAUAGUAAAUUAUGUAAGGAUUAUAUAUUGUCUUGUAAUAGUUGUCAAUAAUCUGAUGCUAAUUAAAUUUUGUAUGUUUAUUAGAUGAGUGUUAUUGCCUAUUGGUAGUAUAUAUUUCUGCACUCGUUUUUCUACUGCAUGAAUCUUUUCCAUAAUAUAAUAUCAAAUUAAAUUCUAAAUUCUUUCAUUCUAUAAAGAUCGUAACAUUUAUUCCCAUUGUCGAUAUUUAACAGAUUAAAUUUUAACAUUAUGUAUUGGGUUAAAUUCUCAUCUCUUAUUUUAUCGAUUAAUUGCAUGUAUCUUUUAUAUUCCAAAAUGAGUGGAAGUGUUAAUAUAUAUUUCUGAAUUUAUACAAGAUCAAUCUUUUGGGCAAAAAAUACUACCUAUAAAAUAGGUGUAAGAUUUAUACCUUAAGCNUUUUUUCUUUUUUUUCUUUUUUUUGUCUUCCCACAUAGAGAGUCUAAUUUGCUUGUCUUCAGGAAAAAUGGAGAUAGAUAGUUGCAUGUCAAUUUCUUCUUAUUGGAGAGGUAUCAUUGUAGAGAGAGAGAGCAACCUUAUCAUGGAUAGUAAAUUAUGUAAGGAUUAUAUAUUGUCUUGUAAUAGUUGUCAAUAAUCUGAUGCUAAUUAAAUUUUGUAUGUUUAUUAGAUGAGUGUUAUUGCCUAUUGGUAGUAUAUAUUUCUAAACUCGUUUUUCUACUGCAUGAAUCUUUUCCAUAAUAUAAUAUCAAAUUAAAUUCUAAAUUCUUUCAUUCUAUAAAGAUCGUAACAUUUAUUCCCAUUGUCGAUAUUUAACAGAUUAAAUUUUGACAUUAUGUAUUGGGUUAUAUUCUCAUCUCUUAUUUUAUCGAUUAAUUGCAUGUAUCUUUUAUAUUCCAAAAUGAGUGGAAGUGUUAAUAUAUAUUUCUGAAUUUAUACAAGAUCAAUCUUUUGGGCAAAAAAUACUACCUAUAAAAUAGGUGUAAGAUUUAUACCUUAAGCAAUGGAAGGCUCAUAUUUGCUCAUCAAUAUUAUCAAAUUAGUUUAAUACUAAAAACAUAAAAAAAAAAAUAGAAUCUUGAGUGGUGGAGUGUAAAAUGUGCACCCUAUAAAUAAUAGAAUAUAUGUAUACUAUGUAUUAGUGGUGGCAAUCCAAUUCGCUGUUCGCGAGCCAGCUUUUGUUUGGCUUGAAAUGAGCUCGAGAUCAAAUAGCUCGUUUAGUAAACGAGCUGAACACGAGUUGAAUUUUUCAACUCGUUUAAUAUACGAGCCGAACACGAGCUGGAGUCAGCUCGCUCGUGCUCGGCUCGAUAACAGCUCAAAUACAUAUAUUUUAUAUUUAUAUAUAUAUAUAAAUAAAUAAUUAUAUAUAUAAUAUAUUAUAUAUUUUUAUUAUUUUAUUUUAGCAAAAUAAAAAUAUAAAGUCGAGCUCAAUUAUAAAAAGACUUAUUUAUAUGUAAAGUUUCAAACNUAUAUAUAUAAAUAAAUAAUUAUAUAUAUAAUAUAUUAUAUAUUUUUAUUAUUUCAUUUUAGCAAAAUAAAAAUAUAAAGUCGAGCUCAAUUAUAAAAAAACUCAUUUAUAUGUAAAGUUUCAACCAUUUGAUCAAAGUCUAAUGAAUAAAAUUUUAUAAAGUUAAUUUUAAUUUAUAUAUAUAUAUCCAAUCUUAUCCUUUAAACUUAUUGUUCGUUGGCAAGCUCGUGAGCCAGCUCGUGUUCAGCUUAUUUAUUAACGACGCAAACACGAGCUAAAUUUUUCGACUCGAUACACUCCUACUAUGUAUCUUGUUAGGUUCAUUAUAGCUUGCACAGAGCAAAAAGUGUUGAAUUUGUACUGAACUCUUGGGCUGGAACUUUUCUUCACUCUAUUCUGUUUUUGUUUUUAUUUUUAAUUAAAUUAGGAUUUUUUUUUCAAUCCUAUUAAAUUUUACUCCGAAUCUUCUUGAAAUUUAGCCAUUAAUAUACCUUUCAUUCUGUGAAUUAAUUCUGCAGAUGAAACAGAGAAUGGAAAUAUUUUGGGAGUAUAAUAUUUUGAGUGAGGCAUCUCUUUUACUCCGCGAAGAUUAUAAUAAAAAUUGUACUCUAUUAUUAUCCAUGAAUAUAGGCCAAUUGUUGAACCACGUAAAUUAUUAUUUUUUUUUUAUUUUUUCUUUUUAUAUUUUGUUUUGACUUCUUACAUUCAAUGAACUAAAUCACCUGAAUGUAGGGUGUAAGAUUUAUACCUACUGGAUAGUAAGAGUAUCAUUUUUCUUUAUUUGAAGAGAAAUAUUCUUUAUUUUUCAAAACAUUAUUAUUAUAAGUUGCUGAUAUGUUGAAAAAUAUAUAUUAUAUUUUUAGAUUGCAUGAAUAAAUCAAUCAAAAAAUCUUCAUAUCAUAUUUGUCAACGUAGUAACAGUCUAUAAAGAUAAUAUACCAAAUGAAACAAAAGAAAAAAACCUAAAUGAACAAUAUAGUUCUACACAACAAAACAAUAAAAUUGUAAAAAAUCAUAAAAGAAAAUAGGCCAAAUAUACGGGUGCCGUGUAGUGCGUCAAUAUUGGCAGAUUCUAAUUCAAUCCGAUCCGAUUUUAAUUUCUAAAUGCAUUGGCUAUCCAGUUUGUAAACUUUCGAUGCUCUCAAAUUUUAAAAUAUAGAAAUUAAAAUUUCUAUAUUUUAAUUUCCAAAAUAUAGAAAUUUAAUUAUUAAAAAUUUGUGAUCGAGACCCAUAUUAGAAUAGAAUAAUAAAAUAAAUUAAAACUUGAUUUUGAAAGUACACAGUUCAAAGUAAUGUCUCAGGUGUACCUCACUGAUUCAUUUAUAAUUUAAUUCAUUUUCCACCAACCAUGUGAACAUCAUCUGAUAUUUAACUUAAUUUGUUGACUUGAGUAAAGUGCAUUAUACAUGUCAAUACAUGUCUAUGAUUACAAAAAUGACCAACAUGUAUUAAUUAAUCAUCUGAUGUGAUCACAAGGAGGCUUAAUUAAUUAACCAUAACUAAUUAAUUAAUUAAUUAAUGAGCUAUAACAACCUAUUGUGACUUAUAUUAUAUUUAAAAUUUGCUAAUGACAUAUAAGAUAAGUAGGGAACUCUAUCAAGUGACAACCCAAAUCAUAUGUUUAUUAGAUGUAUUAAUACUUAGUCUACAUUAUCACAUGACAUACAAAUUAUAUAUAAUAAAGCUUCAUUUGGGAUUGCCAGGAGAUUGUGACCUAAAUGGUUUAUACCCACAUAGAUUCUUAGCAUUUUAGAUAAUUUCAAAAUAGAUCACAACUUUUCAUCUCUUAUAUAAGUACUUGCUUUUUUUUUCUUUACUUUUUUGUCAUAAAAGUAUUUGGUAAUUCGUAUUUUUUAAAUUUUGGAGAAAUUAUUUGAUAAGUUAGGGGCCUGUACGGAAAUUUUCUAUUUUGUUAAAAAGGCAAUUGCUUAUAUACCUCUAAAAAGUUUCCGACUUUCUGAUUUAUUUCUUUUAGAAGACUAAUAUUAAAAAUAUCAUUUCUACGUUCUAAGUUAUUUUAAAUAUACCUCUAAAGUUAAAUUCUUUUAUUGAAUUGUUAGCAAUAACUGUUAUUUCUAUGAAAUUACUAUUUUAUCAUUUCAAAUAUAUCCUUCUAUCAUAACCAUUUUUAUCGUUUCAAACGUACUCCUCUACCAUCACCAACUUUUCUUAUUUGCCCUUAAGUUAAGGACAAAAUAGGUAUUUUAAUUUUUUUAACUCUGGUAAAUAUUUAACCCAAGUUUAAUCCGAGAUAACUUAACGGAUGAUAAUGGAGUAUUAUUAAAUAACGAAGGAAUAUAUGAGGAGUAUAUUAGAAAUAAAAAAAAAAGAAUAAAUUAGAUAUUUUUGAAGUUUUAAAAGGUAAUUAUCCCUUGUUAAAAAUUCUCCAAGGCAGUGAAUCAGGUAUCUUUUGAUAUACCUGCAGUUUAGACAUUAGAAUAUCCUGAUCAAAUUAUUAUUAAACUCCAUGUUCAACAAGCUUGUUUUUUAAUUAGACACACAUAAAUAAAAUAAUAAACAAAAGAUAUUAUAUAUUAUUGGUGAUAUCACAACAAUAAGAAUCACAUAUAAUAUUUAAGAGUCCCUUGUAUCAUGCAAAGUAAUUCUCCAACACUCAUGGAGAGUUUGUGUGUGUGUGUGUGUGUGUGUGUGUGUGUGUGUGUGUGUGUGUGUUAAUCCUUAAAUCUUAUUUAUGAGAUUUUCUUUUUUUUUUCCUAUUUAUUUCCUAUUUAGCCAACCUGUCUCCACACAUAGUGACAUUAUUUAAUUAAAUGUUAGCUUUGGAAUAUGACUCCCAAAGAAAAAUAUACCUAGUUUGUGGUGGUUGUGAAAGCCCUGAUCUUUGGGGCAUUGACCCAUUAGUUAAUCCAAAAUAGUGUAUACUCCAAGUGUGACAUAUUUUUCCUACAAAUUUUGACCAUUAAAAAAAUUGCAACAAGGUGGGCAUGUGGCAUUAUUCUAUUUGUUGCCCUUAUUUCAAAGGUUUGGGUUACUUAUUAGUGGCAUCAAUAAUUGAAAAGUUCUACACCAUUGGUUGCAAAGGAUAUAUACACCAUUGGUUGCAAAGUAUCCUAUGACUCCAUUGAGCAUUAUUAAUCACUUUUCCUAAGGUAUCGCUUGGUUUGAGGAUAAGUAAAAAAUGACUAUUCUAGGGAUAAGUAUAAAUUGAGAUAUAAGCGGGAAUUAGAUCAAUUUUGCAUUUGGAUAAAAAUUGGGCUAUUCCUGAGAAUAAAAAAAAUAGCGUUUGGAAUAAGAAAGAUAAUAGUUUUUAUAAAUAAAAAAUAAUGAUAUUACUCUCUUAUUAUAUUUGAAUUUAAAUUUUUAAAUUUAAAAUUUUGACUUUGAAAUUUCAAAAUUUAAAAUUUAAAAUCUCAAAUUUUAAAUUCAAAAUUUUAAAUUUUAAAUUUCAAAAUUUAAAUUUAAGAUCAAAUUUAAAUUUGAAAAUAUAAAAUAUCAAAUUUUAAAUUUUAAAAAUUUAAAAUAUUAAAAUUUAAAUUUAAAAUUAUAAACUUUAAUUUUGAGAUUAUAAAUUAUAAAUUUUAAAAUUUUAAAUUUUAAUUUUUAAAAUUUUAAAAUAAGAAUAGGAAUGGGAACAAUUAAUAAAAAUAAUUUAUUAUAAUAAAUUUAUAAUUCUUUUUAAAAUUUUACUUAAACUUAAAUUUAAUAAAAAGAAUUUAUUAUAAUAUUUAAAUAUAAAAAAUAUGUAUUAAUAUAGUACAAUUAAUAAUUUUAUAAUAAAAAUAAUAUAUUAUAAUAUAUAACAUAUCAUAUUUAUAUAAUUUAGUUUUAAUUCAAUUUAUAAUUUUAAUUAAAUUUGAAAUUUCAAACUAAGCAUUGGAAUAGUACUAUUUCACCAAAAUAGUGCAAUAGCAAAUCCCGGCCAAAUUUCACCCCGGCCAAAUUUCACCCUGUUUGGCGGAAUAGCGGGGAUAACUUUCGCUAUCCCUGCUUAUCCCCCGAACCAAACUGGGCCUUAUUACUAUUC
This 65245-nucleotide long non-coding RNA is filed under the name Ananas comosus (pineapple). RNAcentral's name for it is "long non-coding RNA (ACOM_LNC014606)". Lineage: Eukaryota; Viridiplantae; Streptophyta; Magnoliopsida; Poales; Bromeliaceae. The record is from RNAcentral.